CGUCGAUCGCGCGCGCCCGUUUCGCUCGUCGUCCGCGGUUCCGUACGCGUAUUUCGUCGUUCGUCGCCGUCGUCGCCGCCUUCGUGUUUCUCGUCUUGUGCGUCUCUGUUCGAAUAUAAUCGUAAAAAAAAAAAAAUAAUCAAGUUUAUCAAGUGCGAUAAAUUUCACCUCGGGUCGUCCGCGAGAGUUGUAGUGAGUUGCGAGUGAGUGGUUUUUUUUUUCUCUCUUUCGCGCCGUCCGCGAGAUUGAAUACUGUCACGAUGACCGGACCGCAGCCGCCGCCGUCGACGUGUUUCGCCGGACUCUGAUCGAAAACUGUCCCGUCGGCCGGGUACGCCAGCUGUAAAAAUCCGGUUCGUAUUUCGUGAUUAACCCUUCCGACCUAACCGUCCGUUAUAUGACCGCUCCGUGACGGCGAAAAAAUACCGAUUUCCUCGGAUUUACCGGGCGGGGUUGUCGUCGUUUCUGGAGAGAACGAAAAAAAUUUAAAUUAAUUUUUCAAAAGGUACAAAAAAAAAAAAAUCGAAUCACUCGCACAAUUGUUUUCGCGAAACUUUCGCUCGGGAGUCUACGCGCGUUACUAUAGUAUAGGUACGGAACGCCUCGCGUAGAAUAAUUGACGGUUUCCGAUCGGGAGGGGGGGGUUUUUUUUUCCCGUCCCCGAGUCGAAAAAAGCUCAGACGAUGUCGCGUGUACCGGACGUCGAUUUUCGAAAAUGAAAUUAUUUCACACACCGAUCGAUAAACGAUUAACGGCAGAACACAACUUUACGAAUACGGGUUCGAGUGUACGAAAAAUAUGAAAACCGCACACGCUCGCUCGCUGUGAAAACUUUGCGCGCAUAAAAAAAACAUGAAAAGUAUAACGUUCCGAUACCCAAUAUAACGUACAAGCGAUCGUGUUUUUUUUUUUUUUUUUUUUUUUUUUCCGUAAUCGUUUUAAAAUAUCUACAUCGAAACGACAAGAGAUGAUUUCCACGACAGUGCUAUAGGUGAACAUUAACGGUUAACGAGGCGAAAGUGUAAUUUUAAUAACCGGCGGCUAUUUUCGUUAAAGGUAAAAAAAAAAAAAAAAAAACAACACAAUUUUCUUCAUUACCUACACAAUGAAACUAAGCACGUCCGGACCUCAUUAAGACCGCGGGACCGACGCGUCGCUUCACAAUUUAUUCAUUUACUGAACCGCGUUGUUAAAAUCGUUUUUAAACGUUUCGCGCAUUAUUUCCAAUCGACUGCAUAAAAUUGAACACGAUUUAUUAUCAUCGGUUAGACGAUCCAAUUGUCUUUGCCGGCCAACUCGUUUCUCAUUUGUCCGAAUUAGAUCAAAAGACGAUAGGCCCGUGGCCGCAGAUAAAACACGUCGCUCGGCGACCAGCGAGUGUACUUGUAUUACCGAAAUUCGGCCUUUUUAUUACGAAACGUUUUGCCGGACGGGCCGGCGCGCCGCCCGAAAGAUUUCUGAACUGCUGCUGCCGUCAUAUGCAAAAACGCCGUAAGCCGUUGGACAUCGUUUUUUGCGAAAAACGGGUUUGUAUGUUUUGGACUUUUUAAAAUUCGUCACACCACUUACGUUUUACCUACCAAACGUACGGUGCGGAUUUCCAUGUGAUAUUUCACCUGACAAAUGCGACGACAUGAACAUAGAUAAAUUCUGAAGUGCUCGACUAUUUACAACUGUUCCCAUAGUAUUGGUGUUCAGAACUGUACCGAAUGGACUCGUGAAUAGAAUCCGUUAAAAACAACCGACGAAUAACCGACAUUGUAUCGUUCUGUAAAGUUUCCAUAUUAUUAUAUUUUGACGAUUUGUCGGUUGCAAUGUUGCGAUAAGUAAAAGCACAAUCCGCGUUCAGCAUGAACGCCGCAAAUUAUUAUUUUUAUUAAACACUGAGCGAAAAUUCCGGAUCUUCGUUAAUAUAUACGGCGUUUUUACAUGGUAAAAAUGUAUUUUUCGACCAUUUGCGGCAUUCCGUCAAAACCAAUAUCGCUAAUAGUCGUUUUCUAAAAUAACGUUUCAGACGUAUGACGGCGUAUUGAUACAAGACGUCUGAAUUUUCUUUGAUGUAAAUAACUCAAACAAUAAAUGUAUACAAAUGUACAUUUUGAUGUAAAUAAUUCGUUUUUCAAUUGUUUCGGACUCGCGGCGUUUUUGCUUAGGACAACAGGAUACUAACCGUAUAAUAAAGACAGGUAUAGUUUGUUUUUAUCUUUUUUUUUUUAAUUUUUUAAUCGCAUGCAAAAACGAUUGGCGUCUUAUUGGCCCGCGGGGAAAACGAACGUUUCGAUAUUAUGUCUUAAUCGACGGGAAAAAUUCUCAACUCGUGUAAUUAGACGAGACUGCGCUGUCGUAAAAGAAAAAAAAAAUAUGCGAUAAUUCGGGAACGCCGGAUCACAUCUGUGACCGCAUCUGUUCGCGACGACCGUAAAACGAUUCUCAGCCGAAGCCGCGGCGAAACGCGCGUUUUGACAUUUCGCGAUUCUCGCGAGGUCAAUUCAAUAUACUCGUGUAAAACAAUAUCAAGCACGUAUGACGGCGGUUCUGUAAAAAUAUCGAUUCGUUAUAAUAGAAAGAAAAAAAAUAAUAAUAAUAACCACGCGCACUCCACGGAGCGUUCCCGAGUUUCGUGUCGGCGUUAGGUACACGCACCGGUUUCGGUUUCGCGAACUGUAAUACCAUAUCGUCAAGUAUAAGUGCCGCAAAGUCAACAUUACAAAACGCCGACGUAGACAAAUAUUAGUUUGAUACAAUGUAUUAUAGGAGAGCGGCCGACGAUUGUUUAAAACGAGACGAGAACCGAUACGCGACAGCGGGGCUCGUGAAGUUUUUACGUCGAGCUCUUUCUCGCGGCGUGUUAAAAACCGGAAACGCAUUUUCCACGAGCCGUAACGUUUGUAAAUUCGGAAUUUAUUUUCGAAUACGGUGUUUAGAAAAAAACGCACGACAAAUUCUGCAGUAUGUCGCGCGUAAAUGCGAACGGUUUCGGUUUGUAGAAAUCGUCGCCGGCCGGAAAAAAAAAACGAUCGGUACGCGACCGAUUUUAAAAUAAUCCGAAUAAGAAAUGCGCACGGGAAAAAUUACUACUGAAUUUUGUUCGCACGAAGCGAACGAAUUUAUGAUCGGAAAAUAUUGCCAACCGCGCGGAAUAUCUAAAAAAUAUUUGCUGCAUAAAGCGCACUUAUCGAAAUCUGUCUGUCUGUUUGGAAAACGGAUUCCAACGUUUUGAACGUUGUCUUGACCACUCGGUGUUACGGCUCGUUGGAAAUUGAUUACGAAAAAUGUACAAUAUGACAAGAAUCGGACAAUAAUAUAAUUUCCAUUUUUCCAACCCUCUCCCCUGUUGCAUUGUUUUUAGUUAUUGUUGUACCUUUCCCCUAUAUUAUAUAGAGCGUACCGCACUUUCGUUAUUGGUUUUCUAUAUUAAGUUUCGCCGUCCUCGAUUUUCCGCCACUCGACUUUCGACACGUUUUAAUUCGUCGACCAUUUUAUAAUAACAUAACAUAUACGUUUUUUUUUUUUUUUUUUUUUUUUUAACGUAAGUACCUUGUAUUUAUUUGUUAGGAUUUCCAUUCAUUUCUCCACGUAAUACGUCCAAGUUUACAAUAAAAAACUUAACACUGUAUAGUAUAAAAUUGCACCGUUGAAUGUAUAAAUAACUGCUCUGUACCUAUAUAACAACAUAAUAAUCCAUUCAUUUUUCCGACAAUGCAUUCUGCAAUGUAAAGAACAUGGAAUUUUAGCAUUUUUUUUUUUUUCGUUUUCGACUGUAAUAAUAAUAGUUGAUUGUAGCGCGUAGGAUUUUCAAUGGAAUAACCAAAAAAAAAAAAUAUACAUAUAUAUAUACGAAACCGCAUCGUGUAGGAAUCCGUGCGCGUAUAAAAAAAAAACAAACACAUAAUAUACGAAAUAUCGAUUUAUAAAGCGAAUUUCGUGACGGACCGUGCGAUAAUCGUAGGCAUAUUAUGUUUAUUCGCGAACAAAUUGUUGUUUUUUUAUUAUUUUAUUAUUUUUUAUGUCACGUUAGAAAAUCGCGCGUUGAUAUUUUUUCCGGCAUGAUGAUGUAUGCACGCUACAAGAUGUGAAUUCAGAACGGAAUUAGAUUGACAAUUUAUUAAGAGGACGCUACACACGAUGCAUUCAUCGUCUACGUCCUAAAAAAAAUCGGCACAGCCAAAUUUCGCGGUAGAACCGAUUCUCCGCUGAUAGUUUUAAAAUUAGAGUGAAUUGAUUUACAUCGAAUCAAUCAGGGAAGAAUAUUAUCCGUAUGGUUUUUCUUUAUUUUAAUUUUUAAGAGGGAUAAAUACAUUUUUAUAUUGUGAUAUUCACACAGCCAUAUUUCGCUUAAAAAUUUAAACAAUGAAAAGAAACCAAUGGAUGAACACAGCCGACAAUGUACUCGCCUUUAAGUUUGAAGUCAAUUCAUUAUAAUAUUAAAACUAACAGCACAACAAAAUUUGCUUUGCCGAGCGCAAAUCUUUUAUGAUAUGCGUUCAGCAGGGACAACUCUAUGCUGUCAGUUUUAAUAUUACAGUGAGUUCACUUAUUAUCAAACACGAAGAUAAGAACAUUAUCCGUGUCGUGUUGUCGUUUGUUUUUUCAGCGCCCAAGUUUUAAAACGAAAUUUGAGCGCGUGAAACAUGCCGAUUCGAAAAUGCUUACAUCUCGCUCAAAAAUUAAACAACGAGCGAAAAGACCGACGGCACGACAUAUGUAGCUAAUGUUCUUAUCCUUAAGUAUAAUAAUAGGUCAAUUCGCUUUAAUAUUACAACAAACAGCACAGAAUUGUCCCGGCUGGACUCGAAAAUUGUCUACACGCGUCGUGUGACGGAGACAGCACAUAAUGCGGGUAUGGCGACCUCUUAACAUUGAACAGUUUGUACCCGAAUUUCCGACCCUACGUAUCACUAUAAUACAGUAUACGUUUAUAAAAUACUGCUGUGUGAAAAUCGUUUGUUUUUUUUUUUCUACCGAUAACGAGGUACUUUGACGGUUUAUAAUAUUACGCAGCCGCAGCUGAUGAUCAAUUUUCCGUAAGACGUUCGUAACGAUAAUUUCAUUGAAAAUAUUAUUAUUUUGUUUUUUAUAGUUUUCUUUCUAUACAUUUCGGACACACACUGCACGCAGUCCUAAAACGUUCAGUUUCUAUACGCCCUUAAAUAUGUUUUGUUGCGGUGAGACUUUAGUGCCUUAUAUACUUAGACUUAUUUUGAUUUUCAAAUAGCGACCUCUAUAUUAUUGUAAUAUAUUGAAAAUACCAAAUAACGAUUAAGUUAUUCAGUUAUAGAAGUGAUAUUAGAACGUUCCCAUAAAAUCCGUCCGUAUACCCACUGCGCAAUAAUUUAUUAAUAUUUCGAAUAAAAAUAAUUGACAAUAAGGAAUCAAGAACAUUUCGCAGAUUAUAAAACGUAUGUAUCAUGAAUGCAAUUCGUAAUCUAGUGAUAAUAUCUACGAAUGCUGCCUCAUCAAAUGUAUACGAGUAAACGCUGCUUAUUUCAUUAGUUGAUGUACAGGUAGGCGUAGCUCGAUAGGUUAGGAAACGUUAGGAGUCGACUAGUCACGAGUUCGAACCUGGCCGGAACGCUAGAAUUGUUUUGCGUUUUUGUGGAUUUUUUUUCGGAUGAAUUUUUAAACGGUCAACCAGUACAUUUUUUCGGUUCAAAUAAGUUUUAUGCGGUGUAAUUAAUAUGCAUUAAAACGGCCAUAGAGUUCAAUGAUAUCUAAUCAUUCGUUAUUACCAUAAAGUAUUGAAAGUACAACAUUCAUUAAAUGUUUAAAAUAAAUAAAUAAUAUUUUCUAUUUUCGUUGUUACGAAAUUGGUCAGAAAUACUUGUGUGAAGUUUGCAAAAACUAAACAAGUCAAUGUUAUUAAAUUUUCGAACAAUAAUAUUAUUAUUUAUAAUGUAAAACAGUAUCGUAAAGUUGCUAUUAUUUAUUUUAAAACGAUAGAUUUUCAAAAACUAUCCCGAAGGUAGUCAAUAGUAGAUGUAGUUGCGCAAAGUAUACUGAUAAGUAAUUGCAUUUAUAGCGAAUUUUAAUUGCUUUGUUUUAUUUUUAUUUUUUAAUCGUCCGCGCACUCAGAAUAGCACAAAACUAUGGGCAGUAAACGAUUUGCAAACAAAAAUACAUAUAGUAGUUGGCGGUGACUGGAGAGUAGUGGAUCAUCAUUUGUGUGACGGCUCAGCGUGAUGCGUUUGUGAAUAGUACUCCAUUACUUUACUGCUAUCCAAACUUAAAAGUGAAAUAUCUCGUCAACGGGUAAAAGGAAAUCAAAAAUAUCGACUCGACAAUGUAUUUGAACUCCGUGAAUUUACGGAAUUUAUAUUAUCGACUGCCGUUUGAAAACCAAAAGUAGGUAGUCGUCUCACUUCUAAAAUUAAAGGCUACGAAAAACGUUUGUAAUGUAACGUUUUAUAUAGCUGCUGGUUAUUUUUUUUUUAAAUUACUGUGAAAAAUAAAUUCCAAAAAAAGUUAAUACAUUCCAAGAUAUCGAAACGGGCAUACAUCUUCGUGGAGCAUCCCGUAUAGUGCAAUUGCCUUGCUUUACCGCAGGGGUGUACAAAAAAAAAAAAAUAAAUAAAAAAACACACAUACUUUUCUCCCUCAACAACAUGGUGGAAUUCAACGAAAAUUGUUUCACUUAAAUAGGCCUACGGAACAACUCUAAUUCUGUUUUUGAGCUCAUUCGGUCCUGAGGGAGCCACUAAAAGUAUCCAAAAGUAGCGGGGAUAAGAUGUGUAAUAGACCUGUAAUAUAGCGCAACCAUCUCUAUUUUCGUGGAAAAUUCGGCCGAAAAAACCGGGGGGUAAAAAACCUUUACACACCGUCGUAAAACCAACCGUCCGAGAUACAUUCAAUAUUUCAGGUCACAUACAUUGUACGCUGAACGAAGGAUAGUUUUUCGUUAUAAUCGUAAAUUAUUGAUAUUCGACGCGAGGUUAUACUCUCGUUUUGAGAUUAUAUUUUCGUGUCCGGCUUCUGAAAAAAAAAUAAAAAUUAUAUAUUUUAUUAUUAAUUAGACGUAUACAGACGGACGGAAAAUAAAUUAUAAAUUAUAAUUACAUAAUUACCUACCUGAUCAAAAGCGUGAUAAACUAUUGAAGAACAGAGAGAGUCAAUAUAGGUAAUUAUCGAAACAUUUAAACGGCCGUUUAAUUUGACAUCAAAGUUUUGUGAAUAUUAUUUUAAUAAUUUUUUUUUUUAAACAAAUAUUGAAGUCAAAUCUAAAGUACCUUUUUUUUAAGGAACGUUAAAUUUUUGUAGUUAAUUCUUUAUAAUAUUUAUACGCAAGCCAAUGAUCGACAGAAUCAUGGAUUUUCGAUAUUUUAAGUUGGUAUUAAGCGCGGCGAUCAAGGGCGUCCGUAGGGACCGUGCCCUCCCCCACGACAUCAAACUAUCUAUUAAUAAUAAUUACUUUCAAAAAUCUGUGUAGAAUUUCAGAGUGUUAACGAAUUAUAAUCACGGCCUCUGUAGAUAGUUGUGCUAUAACAUUAAGCGGCCAGUGGUCACAUUAGUUAAAUGUAUAAUUUUCAUGAUCUAACAAAAGGAUGUUGCCCCCCCUUUCUAGAAUACUAAUCAAUUCCGCCACUGGUUGGUAUACAAAUAUGUUAUAAUUGUAAUGUUGAUAAUCCGUUUGAACCUCGGAUAAUACGAAAACAACUAUUGAUAGACCUGGUGUUGUUAAUGCCAACAGAACGGCUGACUCUUCCCAUCGAGGAGCGCAGCGUUUACAUUUUGUUUGUUGUUAAGAACCGAUUUGAUAGAUAUCAAAUUUAAAAAUAAAAUGUUUAUUACUAUCUACAUAUUAAAAUUGAUGAAAAGCCACAGUGAAACAUAUGAAAAUAAAUUAGUAAUACUUACCAGAACCGUUUAGCAGUACAUUUUCCAAGCACAGUGUCGACUUCGUAUCGGGUUAUCGGUAUCGUUGACCGACACUAACAGAGUUUGAUCAAUUUCCCGUUUUACAUUUCAAUAACACGAAUAAAUUCGAACAGUAUACAAAACAAUAUUAAUUAAAUUCGGCUUUUAUCACGAAACAAAACGUAAACGUGGACCUUUUUAAUAAGAAAAGUCGGUCAUUUUGUCGACUUCAACGUUCUACACUAAAUGGUAUUGAUGAGGGGAGAGGAUGGGAGGCAGCUAACUAGUUGUUUAUAUAACUGUGGUUAAAAACAUAAACAAAACAAGCACAACUUUCUUUUUGAUAGAAACGCGAAUAUUUGUGCGAGUUCGGAGGGAUGAAAAUAUUGUCGACAAUUUGCACUGUGUACAUUAGGUCUCUAUAUACAUUUUUACGCUUAUAAUUAUUAUAUUUCUAAACGAUUUUGACGUACAGAAAAAAAAAAAAAAAAUGGAAAACCCGCUAUAAAUCAAUUAUUUCUGAAACGUAUCCAACAAUAUAAUGACAUUUUAUUUUUUUACCGCAAGGUAAUAUAUUAUUUAUUGUGUACGACGAGGUGUGUUUCGAAAACGAGUAUACGUCUUUAUUACGCGUAUUUUGGUAAGUUUUGACAAAUGGAUUGGUUCGGAGGACGGCGGCGGCGUUAUUAUUACCUAUAUUUAUUAUUGUUUCGUUGUAUUUUUUUUUUUUUCUUAUCGAUUCGGACGGCGUUUUUUUCAUCAAAGAAAACGUUUUCACGGCGUUUGAGGGGGAGGGGAGAGAAAGAAGGCCUCCGAGAAGGGUUUACGUUUUUUUCGAAAAGAAAUGUUUUAAUAUUAUUUCGAACUUUGAAAACAAAAUUUCCGUUCUCCCUUCCCCCGAGUCUGAAUAGUUACAACCUUGUCGCCCGCAGCGGUGACGGUAUUUGUUACGCUUGUUCAACGAGGUCGUCCAAUUUUUUAUAAACGAAAUAGUAUACGGUGUUUUUUUUUUUUAAUUGGACAUUAAUUGCCAAUAUCUCAAUUAAUCGAACAUUUUCACUAGUGAACAAUUUUACAUCAAUAUUAUUUUUAUGAAUUUAGUUUGAUUUUGGCAAGCAAUUUGAGUAAAAUAUUUUUUAGGAGGUAUGGAAUUUCGAAAAAAAUAUUCUUGGAUUUUUAAAUUGUUCGUGGUGUGAUAUUUUUUAUUUUCGUUAUCACUUAUAAACGUUCGACGUUUUCGAUACUUAUAUACAUUACUAGUUUAUCGUCAUAAGUUUUUAUACCGAUUUCAAAAUGCAUUCGUUCACCCUUUUCUGUCAACACCCUUCAAAUCAUGUCAACGCAAUACUCUAACAUCUGUUUACCGAACGGUUAAAAAACGACCUACGAAAUCCGUAUGUCGGGCAAUUAAUUAUUAAUUAAUAAUACGUUUGUAGUUGUAGUUGAAGGCGUUUUUUCCCUCCAGCAUUGAAUGCCCGACAUAAUAAUAGCAAUAUUACUAAACUCGAUCGGUUUUUUGAAUAUGAACAAAAUAUCGCGUAAAACAGUGUUAACGGAGAACGAGUGCUCGUGUAAAAUUAUUAUUUUUUUCGUGCGGGUAAUAUGACAGAAAUCCGUAUUAUCCGAAAAUCCGGAUGGUGAAUUUUUUAUAUCAAAAUUUUCUUCCGGAUUCCGGAAAUCCAGUGUAACCGUUGAUUUUGACUACCCAACGAUUUGUACGGGAAAAGUCGAACAUUUUUUCCGAAUUCAACUACCGUUUUUUUCGACUCCUUGAUGGAAAAUCGAUAGCUCUUGGUCUAUUUCGACUAUUUUCUUUUUACAAUUUUCCCUAACGCUCACUAAUUUUGUUCUACACAUUUUUUUACUAUUUUUACAAUUUUAAUUAAAUAGUUGAUUACCUUGCAUAUUUGUUUUUAUUGACGAAAAUAAAAUAUAACAUAGAUAGGUACUAUUGUAAUUAAUUUUAAUUAAAAAUUACAUGUUUAUAUGACUUUAAAAAUGUUUUUUAUUACUAAAUAAAUAUAUUAUUAUGAUUUAUGAGACCUUUCUUUGAUACGAUUAUUAUAAUAAGUCGUAUUUUUACGAUAGGUACUAUUUGAGUUAUUUUUUUUUCUGUUACAGUUUUAAUGUGUCAAUUUAAUACCUGUACAAAGACGGUAAUUUGUCCCAUGUAUUUCUCAUUCUGACUUAGAUUCAGAGAAUGGAUUGAUUUUACAACGAUGUUUAUUUUAUUUUAUCUUUUUCUGUGAACACCUUUUCUGCCAGUAGUUUUGCUCCGAUUAUCAAGUGUAGUACAUUUUUUGAAAGGGAAUUUUUUAAGGGUGGUAACUUAAGCACACUAUUUUUUAAUUUUCUUAGUCAUUUUCAUAACAAUUAGAAAAAAUCAAGAAAAAACAUUGGUAAAACGGGAAAAGUACAUACAUAAAUGAAACUUUUCUCGGAAUGGGUUUUUUUGUCGGCAAUAAUAGCGAUCCCCCACCUAUGAGCAUUAUCGUACCUAAGGCUUUUUGUAUAAUGUAUGCAUAUAUAUAAUGUCUUUAAUUUUAGGUUUUUAAAUAUUUUUUUUACAAAUUUUGAUAUUUAAUUACCUAGUUAUUAAUUUCUAAAACAAUUGUUCUUUAUUUACCUGAAUAAAUUAUGCAAAUUAUAAAACAAAUCGAAAUUAUUAUUAAUGCAUAAUAAAAAAGAAACUGGCAAAAUUACUGGUAAAAAAGGUGUUCACAGAAAAAGACAAAAUAUAAUAAACAUCACUGUAAUAUCAAUACAUUCUCUGAAUUAAGUCAGAAUAAGAAAUACAUGGAACAAAUUACCGUAUUUUUACAGGGACUAAAUUGACACAUUAAAACUGCAACAGAAAACAUGUAGUAUUUAAUUAAAAUUAAUUACAAUAGUACUAACCUAUGUGGUAUUUUAUUCUCGCUAAUAAAAAAAAUAUACAAGGUAAUCGACUAUUUAAUUAAAAUAGUAAAAAUAGAAAAAAAAUUAGAAAUGUAUAGAACAAAAUCAGUGAGCGUUUAGGAAAAUUAUAAGAAGAAAAUAGUCGAAAAAAACCAAAAGAUAUCGACUUUCCGCCGGGGAGCCGAAAAAAACGGAAGUAGAAUUCGGACAAAAUUUUCGACUCCCCUACGAAAUCGACUCUCCCAGUACAAAUUGUUACGUAGUCGAAAUCUACGGACACACCGGGUUAUCGAACCUCGAAAAGUCAGGAUUUUUCUCAUGACUUAUAGAAAUAUUAUAAUCGUCGUGACCCGGAACAAUGUCUGCUAAACGUCGGUAUUUUUCGGACGUGAUAUAAUUUCCAAACUAAUUCGUUUCCGCUCGAGUUAUUUUUGUAUUUAAACAGAAUAAAAUAUUGUCAAAUAAUAUUUUUUCAGCUUUCCCCCACCCCUUUUUUUUCGACCAAACAUUCGAAAUCGUAUUACGCAAUACGUCCGUAGUCGUGCAUUUUCCUUUUCCCUAUAUUAUAAUAUCGCGGCAGUGUUAUGACGACAAUAAUAUUACAUACAAAUGCAUUUUUUCGCCCUUUUCUGUCAACGGCACCCUCUGAAAUCACGUCAACGGAAUAAUAUAACAUCUGUUUACCGGCCACCGUCGCGCUUGUCGAAAUCCAUAUGCCGGACUCGAGAUUCUAUUAUGGGCGUACACAGUACGCGCGUAUAAAAAAAAUAUUAUUAAUUAGUAGUUGUCGUCGACGGUUUUUUUGUAAAAAAAAUGUUUUCAUUUAGCACACCGGGAUGAAAAGACGUAAACCAUGGCCUUUGACAAAAAUUAACGGAGGGCCGCGUUCGAAUUAAAUAAAUUCGCCGACUUCGGCAAACCUAUCGCGUGUACCGGUACCGUCGAAAAAUAUUUUUGUUUCCUGCAUUAUUUUGUUUGUCGAUGAACAAUUGUUGUUAGGAAACAAGAUUGUCGGCGGUACGUUAGAUAUCUAUAUUUUGUGUCUUGCACGGGGUGUUUCAUAUCUUUCGGAUGGUUUGUCGGUAUCCACCGCAGUGUUUAUAGAGAAAUAGAAAUCAAUUACACAAAAAUGAUCGGAAAAACGCGGCACUCGUUCGAAAAAUGACAAGAACCGUUUUCCGAAACACGGCCCGGUCGCAUAUUAACAUACUAUUAGUACCAUAGUAUACUGCACACGGUUUACCGAUGUGGUUUUGCGCAAACAAAUCGCCGGGUUUGUUUUCGAUUAAUUUCUUUCGUCCGUCCUCAUCCGUUCCACUUCGCCGAGCAUUUAUGCGAUUGCAAAUGUUACAAAUUUAAUUCACGGCGAAGAAAUUACGCUUUCGGACCGUUAUAAUUAAUCCUUAUCAUUAUUUGUCUUUAUCGUUAACUACCGUUUAUCCACCACACGCGAGCGGUUCACGGUUCGCGGACCGUGCAUAUUCGUCGAGUUUUUUUUUUGUAUUUAAAAAUUCGUCGGUCCCUUUGGUUUUUUUUUUUGGUGAUUGAUCGUCCGAUCUUUCGCGAACGGUUCCGGGCCGAUUUCGGACCUCGAACCGCGAACACCGAAUAACAAUCAUAACCGUAUAACCGUCGUUAUUGUUGCGUCGCGUCCGAUCGUAGGCGCAAAUAGGGGAGGGUCUCCGGGGCGACUUGUCCUUUCCCGAAAAUCCGACCUCCCGCCCGACGAAGCCUGACCGAUGCGUUACGGUGCGUUAAGUCCCCCACCCGCCGAAAAAAAAACCAUUUAUACCGGCAAUUCACGCCGUUCGAUUUUCGUUUGGGAAACGAAAUUCGUAUAAUAAUGUUAUUAACCGCCGUUUCGGGAUUUUUGACGCGCGGACCCACCCGUUCGGUCCGCGCGCCUUUACCGCCGCGUUCGCGUAUUAUUAUUCGAUCGCACCGCGGCGACGGCGAUUAUUGCGCGCGAAUAAUGGCCGCGACCCCACCGGUGUGGCCGUCGUUGUUAGCGGACGACAACAGCAAUAAUAAUAAUAAUAAUAAUAAUACAAAACGACAAGUACGCCGGGCCCGUAACCGCAUCUCUAGCGGAACCGCGAGGGGGGGGGGGGGGGGGGGCAAANNNNNNNNNNNNNNNNNNNNNNNNNNNNNNNAAAAAAAAAAAAAAAAAAAAAAAAAAAACGAGCGUUGCGAAAUAAUAAUAAUAUAAGAAUAAUGCGAUUACAAAUAGCGUACGUCGGUCGUACGCGAUAACGCGCGGACGAUUUUUUUUUUUCCCCCCGGGCGAAAUCCGAACGGAUUGCAGUAUUUUCGGCCGUCGACUACGCGGUCCGUUCGCGACGGUCCGUACCUGACGUAGGUGUCCAGGGCCACCGUUCGAAAAUAAUACGCGGGAUUUUUUUAUCGUCCUAGGUGCAGGCGCGGGGGAGUAGUGUUGAUUUGUACGCUCUGACACGCGGCAAAACGACUCGCGAUAGAACGUACAAAAUAUUAACACUGCUUUUGCAUAUAUUUAAAAUAAGAGAUAAAAACAGACGGACGUACUUCGCACGUGGGCGCAGCCACUGUUGUAGGCGGGAAGUUGAAAAUCUAAAUAGGAAACGGACGGGAAUUUAAUAGUUAAUUAUCUGCGAGUCAGCAACGAUAUUCAGUUGCUAACGGAUAUACGAUUCUGAUCGGAGUUCAUUUGAUAGUGUUGCUUUAUCAACAAUUUAUAACAUGUCAUAUUAUAUGAAAUAAUGAUAUCAACAAUGUGCGUGUCCGUGGCAACAAUGAUUGUUUGAAAAAAAAAAAAAUAAUAAAAACUUAACAAUAACAAUAAAUAAAUAAAAACGGUUGCCAAUGACAACCUUAUUUUUAAUUUGGGAAUCUUUUUUAACCUAAAGAACCAGGUGUUCUCAUUAUCUCGAAUAUUAACGACCUGUUUAAAAGUACCACCCAGGGAACAUUUCCUUUUAGAAAAGGUGCUAUACUUGAUAAUCGGAGUAAGCUUAUUGGUAGAAAAAGUGUUCACAUAAAAAAAAAAUAACAAAAAAAUAAACAUCAUUGUAAAACUAAUACAUUCUUCGCUCCUCUCACAUAUUAUUUUUAUACACAGAGUGAUAAAUCUAUCGUAAAACUCUCAUUAUCUCAGAAAACAUUAACUUUUUUCAGAAUUUCGUUUACAGAAUCAAGAAGUUCUACAAUUAUAUAUUUAUGUUAUUUUUUUAUCAUUCUUAUUGUCGAAGGUAAAUCCACUAUUUUCUUUUGAUUUAUUUUUUAACGGAAACCUAGAUAUAUUAGGAUUCCACGGACAGGUAGAUGAAGUAUUAGUUAAAAUACAUUUUGGCGUUGGCAUUUUUGAUUUCCGUCAUUCCGUUGACGAUAUUUUUCACUUUUCAGUUUGGGUCGGGGGAGAGUAGUGACAGAUUGAUCACCCUGUACAUGCAAUAUGAUUAUCGUGUGUAGACAAAGUGUAUUAUUCGUAACCAUUUUCACAGGUACAUGAAGUCAGGUUGAGCCGAUUUAGUCAAUUUGUAUCCCGGCGUUUUUUUGCUUGUAUACCAAACGCUCACUGGUUUUAGGCAGAUAUUCUCUAAGUAUUUUUAAAAUACAAUAAUACAUUUUAUCCUACAACAAUAAUAAAAGUAUUUUAAACGCAAUUAAAAAAAAAAAAAAAUAAUACCAUUGAGCAACGGAAUUCCGUCACUUGAAUCGAAUCUUAGAGCCACCGAUAUAUAUUUCUUUAUUUUAAAAAAAAAUUGUAUACUUUGUCUAAAAUACACGAAUUAAAAUUCCAGAGUUUUAUUACAAAAUUGUUAGUCCAUAGGGAUAUUUAAAACCUCGGCAUUUUUUACGAAGACAUGGAAUUUGAGCGGAAUCUCCGUUGUUAUGGACGGAGUUGAACAUUAAACUCCCCAAAGCCGCGGAUAUGACAGUUACACCGUGAUGGACAUACACAAAAUGUCAUUCUCCUGGCUCCAUCCGGAGGCUCCGUUGAGGUGUACGAAACUAAAAAAAAAACACACUGCUCCAGCAACAGAAAAAUGAAAUUUAUAAGGAAAUUCAACGAAAAUGUUAUCACUUGACAUUCGCCAAAAAAAAAAAAAACAACGUUAAUUCCGCGGUUUGAGAUCGCCUGGUAUAUACGAGGGAGCCGCUGAAAGUGUGCAAAAGUAGAGGGGAUAUGAUAAUGUGUAACGGGCAUGCAAUAUAGCGAAACUGUCUUUAUUUUCGGGGAAAAUUUUAACGAAAAACCGCGGGGAGGGGGGGGGAGGAAACCCUGACACACCGUCGUUAACCCAACUGUCCGGAAUAUAUUCAAUGUUUCAGGUCAUAAUGAUACAUAAUAUAAUAUAAAGGUUAGUUUUUCGUUGUAAUCGUAAAUUAUUGAUAUUCGACACGAGGUUAUAAUAUGCGCGCUUUGAAGUUGUAGUUUUGGAUUCGACUUCGUAAAGAGAAAAGUCGAGACGUUUUAUUAUUAAUUAGGUAUAUAUAUAUAUACACCGACGGGAAAUAAAUUAUAAAUUAUAAUACAAAAUAUAAUAUAUGUUUCUAUAAUUUCGUGAUUAAUAUUUUAGUAAUAACUUGACUAUUUUCUUUUUACUAACCCGAUUGAUAUAUAAAUAUAUAGGGUUACAUAGUUUAUAACCCAAUGUCAGCAACGAUAAUUUUUUUGAAACCAUUCUGAGCGGAAUAACGUUAAACACUUUGUUUGAACAAUUUAAAUCGCGUUAAUUUGUCACUGAAAAAUAAAUUAUAAUACAAGUUCAAUACAAUGUAAUUACAAUUACAAUAUUAAAUCAUAAAUUUGAAUUUAAGACACUUAAAAAAAAAAAAAAAAAAAAUAAAGACUAUAGGCUCGUUUUUUAUUUUUAUUUUAACAAAAUUGAGCAUCUUAUCUUGUAUCAAAUAUUCGAUCAUUUUUGAGAAGUCAAAAAAUCGCAUCUGCAUAAAAUUAAAAAUAUUCGAUCAUUUCAACGAGGUAUGUAUAUAACUUAAACCGUACCAUGGUAUCUAUAUAAUUGGACCACGUCUGAAGAAUACUUAUAAAAGUUUUCGGAGGAAAUUUAAUGUCACCAGGAAUACUUUUCGCUGAAUCACAAAAUAAAACAAAAUCGAUUUUAACAGAAGCCGCUGUACCGUAAAUAUAUCCGGUUUUCUUUCAUUAUUAAAAGAAGUAAAAAAUCAAAAAAAUCAAUGAGACAAAAUUGUCAAACAAAUCCAUUCCUGGUAUUGAUGAUCGCAAUAAGAUUUCUGGUUCAAAAUUAAAUUUUCAAUUAACCUUUUAUUGAUUUAUUUUUAUUAGGUAAUUUAAAGUUUGCAAAAAAAAAAAAAAAAAAAAAACUUGUACACAAAAAAAGCCAACGAGGAGACGGGGAGCACGGUUUCGGUGGCAAGACAAGGGGGGGAGGCUCAUUUCUCCAUGGUUGUCUUUCUGAUUUUUUGAUUAAAACUUGUAAAAAGAAAAAAAAACCAACAUUGAUUUAGCGAAAAUAUUUCCUCGUGGUAAUAACUAAUUAUUUUUUUAUUGAUUAUGAUAUAAUGGAUACAUACACGAAUUGCUAAAUUGUAUUGAAUUAUAUCUUUUUUUUAAAAAAUACAAAAAUGUUUAAUAUACGAUAAAAAUUAAAAAAACAGUUUUCAGGGUGACGAUUAAUGUUAUAAUGUUAGAUAGUGCGAUUUGACAGUGAUUUUAUGAAAUAUUAUAAAAAUUCUAGGUGUUUCAGGGUUUAUUAUUAUUUUUUUUUUUUUGUACAAAUUGUAAUUCUUACCGAGAAUUCAAUAAGUUUUAAUUUAUGUAUUAAGGGUUUCUUAAUUCUCCUGCCGCAUAAAUACGCCCGAUUAGAAUAUGUAUAUACAUUUUUUUCGUUUUGGAAAAGGAUUCAAAUUCGUACAUAUAUUUGCACAUUGGACUCGAAUCAUAGAGUCUGCGAAUUUUCAAAUUCCAAAUCCAAUGUACUCCUAUGGUUAAAAACCUUCAAUUUUCAAAAAAAAAAAAAAAAAUUAUAAAUGUUUAAAAUCUGACUGCACUACGAGACGGGAUAGCUGAAUCUGUAUUAAUCUGUAUUGAUCCGUAAUAAGCGUGUUUUCGGGGGAAAAAACAUGUCGCGCGCACUGUCCUUCGGGAGUUUUUUCGUCUUUUUCGAACCUUUUUUUAAAAUUCGAUCGGGCGCCCUUUCCGGAAUGAGCGAUUCAUACAACGGUUUUCGGGCCAAGCGCGAUGUCCGGCCGAAUAGUAAUAUUUUAUUUCCCAAACUAAAACCGAACACUAUAUAAUGCAACGUAUCGGUCGGUCAGUGUUCGGAGAAAACAAUAUUAUAAAAUGCCCGUUCGGCUGUGUAAUACUGCAGACGGACGUUUAUUAAUUUUGGAUUUUCGAAGUAUUCGCGUUCCGUAUCGUAUCGCAUCCGAACCCGAACGGUUCGGUCGCUCCGUGUAAAGGUGUAUUUAGGUGUGCGACAAUAGAAUUUCGCGAGUCGCGAGUCGCGCCGCGUAUUGUACAAAAAAACGAAUAAAAACAUUCCGCGCCAUCGGGUGUUAUUUACGAUAUUCUAUUCACUCUCUGUCCAUCUAUCUAUCCGCGUUUGUAUACGGCGUACACGAAUUAAAAAUUAACGAGCGCAGUGUGACGGCCUACGACUUUUUCUCCCUUUCCCGCGUUGUAGUGUUCUCGCGUUACGUUUGUCAUUUAUUCACGGUUUUCCUACCGCUCGCCUUUGCGUAACGCGAAAUAUAUAUAAAAAAAAAAAAAUAAUAAAAAAAAUAAGGCGAUUUUACGAGCUCGCGCGCGUCAAUCCGCGCCGUGCGCGCAUUAUUGCGUACAGUGCCGUUUAUGUCGGCCACGAGACGACAUUGCGAAACUGCAGACGCGCGCGAAUUUUUUUCUCCGUUUCACGACCGGGACAACGAGGUGCCGCCGUUCUCGAAAUUAUUCGCCGGGCCCGUUGUCCGCGACCGGGCGCGGGAAGUGCCGGUUAUUGUGUCGAUUAUUUUUUCGGGGAAAAAAAAAAAAAAAAAAAAAAAACCCAUUCGGGAACGGAAAAAAUGUACGGUACGGUCUAUUAUCGAUUUCCGAACGAAAAUUAAGUNUUCCUACCGCUCGCCUUUGCGUAACGCGAAAUAUAUAUAAAAAAAAAAAAAAAAAAAAAAAACCCAUUCGGGAACGGAAAAAAUGUACGGUACGGUCUAUUAUCGAUUUCCGAACGAAAAUUAAGUCGAAGUUUUUUUUUUUGUAAAAUCGAAAAUCGUGCAAACGUUUCGGAAAACCGCAUGGCCCGCUGAACGUACACGCUCAAACAGUUUUCCGAACAAACCAAAUCGCCCCUGAUAUAUUGUUACUGUCGUCGCCCAUUCGUAUCACUUAUACCAUAUAUAUAUAUAUCUAUUUCAUCUCCUCCGGCUUCAUUUGGAAAUGCCGCUUGUGCGCCACUCAAAUCGCAAUGCAAAAAACAUUCGUUUCAUCGGUGAUCAUUGUUUAAUAGAAAUUCGCAAUAAUUUUGUUUAGUAAUACGUUGAUUGUUUCAUUUCGAUAGUUUGAAUUUGAUUUUCGUAUUACUGUUAUAUAUAUUUACCAACUAUAAACAAUAUGGAUGUACAAUGUAUGAGAAGAGUACAAACUGUAUAGAUAUUAAAAUAUACUCUCAACAAAAUGAAUGAGAACACCACUGUACGAAGGUACAAAAGAAAAAGAAUAUUCCGAAGAUCUAUUUCAAUUAACAGUAUAUAUAAAUAUAGAGGUGCGCAUUUCUACUAUAUUUCUAAAAUAAACUAUGUAUAAUAUAUAUACAUAUAUAUAUAUAUGGUAGUAGCGAGGUAGGGGAGUGAAAAUUUAGUGUAAUGGCAGAGAGAGAGAAUUGCCGAGUAUAUGUAGAGAGUGGCCGUGUAGUGGCGAGUAGUGGCGGAGAGGUAAGUAAUAUCCGCACACCGGAGUAUAAUUUAAUUUAUUGCUAUACACGACGAUGAAUUAUAUUGUAUUGUCGAAAAACGAUUCUAAGCGAUGUUCGAGUAAAACGUUGGUUUUAUAUAUUUUAAUAUUUAUUAAUUUAUUUUAAAUUUGAAUUGUACAAAAUACAAUAAAUUGUUCGUGUAAUCGUGUUAUUAACAAAGCUGUACACAAAAUUCGAACUUCAAACGCUAGUGAUAAAAGUAAACUACUAAACUUCCAAAAGAAAAAAAAAACUCAAACAUUACAAAUAGCUGUUAAUCACUUUCAAAAUAGACAGAAUAUUUUCGAAACUAUUGUAUCACGUCCAGAAAGUAUAUGGCAAACGUUCAAGCCUUAACGAUAAUUUUCACAGAAUUAGAAAAAAAUAUAUAAUAAUAAUAACAAAAAUUCGUAACAUUUCGGUUUUUUCCUUCGUUUUCCCACCAUUAUUCCGAAAACUACGAGGAUAAUAAAAAAAAAAUGACACGUUUAACGCUCCAACUAUAUACGUAAUUCGCAAUUAGAAAUCGUCCAUAUCGAUAAAUGGACCAAGAGGAUUUCGGUUAGAAAAUUCACAAAAAAAAAAAAAAACAUUUUGUACGGGUUGAAACAGAAGACUUUCCACAGAUCGUGUUGAACUCCGUUCUACGAUAUUUUUAUUUUAAACCACAUAAUACCGUCUAGAAAAAGAUCAAUUUUUAAUUUUUUUUUACUCGAUAGCUUUUCUUUUUAUAUACCUGCCAUUAUAUUAUGGAAUCAAAUAAAAAAUUGUAGUACAAUGCGGUCCAUAAUAUAAUGUUGUUGCAGUAAUCGGCUAAAAGAAAAAAAAAAAAAGCAUUAGGAAACUACUAUGUUGACAACGAUUCUUCCUUAUAGCUAUAACUCGCAGAGUAAUUAUUUUCGUCCGUAAAACCGGCCGCAUCUCUUCCUCCUAAGCGGGUAUCGGGUAGUAAAUUCCGCGGUAAAGUGCUAUUCUAAAUGUUACGAAACCGGAGAUAAUUCGGUAUACCGAUAGGUACCGGGUUUCGGGAGAAAAAAAAAAAGCACACAUCACAGCGAUGUCAAUACGUUCCUCGUCACGCUCCGAAUUCAAAGCGAACGAAUAAUAACAUAAUAUAUUAUGCGUACGAGUAUUCAGUAUGAUAUACAAUGUUGUCAUUUCGGUGUAUUCAAAAACUUGACGCUGUAUUUAAAUGAGUAAAUCGCGUGAAUAGUUUUAUAAAUUCCCGCAUACUUACGUUCGUUUUUUCAGACGGCAGACAUUUUCGUUGACACUUUGUUGACAUCAAAAACGUUCGGCUGUUUCGAUAAUUAGCAUUAAUGCAGCGUUAUUUCUUAUAACAUGUUCCGAGAAACUUCAAGUGAAAACUAAUUAAUGAUCUUCUUUACAAUAUUUUCAAAAUUUACCCUUAUCCCGUGUACACCGUAAAAAAACACACUGUUCACUUCCAUAGUAAAUCGCAUAAUUACAUUUUUAAAUGUACCACAAGAAUCGCUUCCCUUCCCGAUAUUAUCUUAUCCGGUCUACAUUUUAAACUGCUAUGUAACAUCCGAUACGAGUGUAUCGAGCCUAUCGAUAUUUUUUUUAUGUAAAAUAGCCUUUUGUCAAAAAUACCGGAAAGCUAUUGAUCUUUGACGUUCAAAAGGUGUUACCACUUUUUCGGGUGCCCGAGAAAUAAUAAGGAGGUGAUGGGGGAAAUUCAAAAACGACCACAAACUUAAACGAUUUCAUUAAUAUUGUAAUAUGAUUGUCACAAAACCGAAAUCAAUUUCACGGAAAAAUUCUCCGAGGAAACCGUUACGCGAUCGUGAUAAAAAUAAAAUAAUCAUCCUGUAUACCUAUACGCGUUGUGAUUGGACGGAUGAAGCAAGUAUCAUCGUUCUACCGCGUUUGCGCACAUGACGUAUAAACGUAUAUUACGUCGCAAAUGUUCAGUGCUCCUGUAUAUUGUUUUCUUAUUAUAUUAUACUUGUAUAAGUAUACGUAUCCAUAAGAAUAUCGACGCGGAACCCGCUGUAUAAUAUUAUUGUUGCGUCAGGCGUGGAACAACUGUAAUAAUAACAAUGACAACGAUGGUAAUAACGAUCGCGGUGUACUUAGAUACGUCGUCGUAUACCUAUACUUACCGGUCGGAUAUUGCCGUAGAACACGUGAAUAAUUUUCCUAUAUAGCGGCGGAACGACUAUUAUUUUUUAUCAUAUAAAAAGCACCUAUUAUAACGAUAACGACUAUAAUACAGCUGUAUCACUGCGGUUUUAUUGCGAGGGAUGGGGUGAAGGGCGUGGAUCGUCUCUCCUCCCCCCACCAUAUACGUUUGUACGUAUAUCAGCCUAUCAAUGGGGAGGGGGUGAAAUUGGAUUGAUUAUUUGUACCAGUAUAUUUUGUAUACGUGUAUAGUUUUUUUUUUCUGACUUGCAGGCCACCUAAUACCUUUUGCCGCUCCUUCUCGAUUUCCGUCGUUCCCCGCAGGCUUCCGAAUCUUUGUUCGCUCUAUCAAGCCAUCUCUGGCAGGCUCUACCUCUUUGUUCCAUCCCGCUUGGUUUAUUGAUCAAGUUCUUAUGUAUUAUCUUAUCCUUUGUCCGCCAGACAGGGCUAAUCCAGACUCCCAGUUUCUAUGGUCUUUUGGCCUCGGAUAGUUUUAUGCGUUUUGUCUAUAUAUACUUUUCUGACCCCCAGUUUCGUACGGACCCUGCAUUAAUGUAAUGUAUAUUGUAUACACACAAUUUUAUGUCUGUUACCUGCUCUUCGGGACUUGUCGAAACCCGCCACUGAGAUGUACACGGACCGUGUUAUGCUUACCUCGAAAAUUGCUUACAAAAUACUCGAAAACACGUCAAACGGACAUACAUGUGUGUUGUGUCUCGUGGGGGUGAAUCGAAAAAGAAACAAUGUCUUUCGUCGAAUUUUUACGAUGACCUUUCCUUUGGUUUUACAGUGUACCUACCGCUUAAAUGCUCUUGCACACGCGGACAGAGAAAAUAAUGGAUUUUAAAUGUAAUAAAACAAAUGUCAUAAGCGUGUUCAUAGUCGCGAAAAGGGCAUCCGACUAUUUUAUUUAUUUUUGUUCAAGCGGUUAAAGACAUUAUUCUUUCAUUUUCGGCGCGCAAUCGAAAUCGGCGGUUCCUAUCGACCGAUUCCUAAUAUGUAUCCGUUCGCUAUUUCAAACUUGAAACGUGAGCACAAUAUACGUAUAUGUAUAAAUUGUUUUUUUUUUUUUAAAACGUAUAUAUUAAUCGGCAACGAGUUUGAGAGUUUGAGAGUUAUUUAUGUCUGUAGUUUAUUUCAAAACCUUUUAAUUGCACGCGAAGGCGUCCGGACUUUAAAGGGAGAGGGCAAACUAAAGAAUUUUCAGACGUUUCGCAACUCUUAUGAUACUGCUUGAACAAAUCGGCAAAUUCAUGUAUUCUUUCAAAAAAAAAAUAAAAAAUAAAAAAAAUAUGAAAAAUCCAUCUUAGUAAAACUAUAAUGGCUUUUUCGGUACAUUCCGAAUAAAAACAAAUUCGUAUUCAUAAAGUCGAGUUAUUUAUAUAAUAUAUGUAUUAGUAAGUAAACUUGCACCGUAAAUGUAUUUCGACCGGGGGUUUAAUGCGAACACAAGAAAUAUAAUAUUUAAAUAUUUAGAAUCGGCCCGUGUACUUAUUAAAAAAACAAAACGUUCAAAACGGCAAUAUUAAAAGCUCGACGACAAAAAUAAAUAACAAUGCAAUAUUUUACAUAAUAUUUUAGUUGCGAAAGUUUCAAACAUGCGCGAAGCCUGCAGAUUGCAUAAAAGAAAAUUAUACUUGGGUAGUAAUAUUAUUUUCGCGGGCGAAUCGAAUCGUAAACGUUCCCGUGAAACGUGACGAGACGCCCGUCUCGAGGUUCCGAACCGCGGGGAUAAAAGCUUUGUACUGUGGUGUCUGAACAAACGGAAAAAAAAAAAAAAAACGCCGAAAUCGAAACGGGUAAAAACCGACGUCUGACACCCGGCCAUCGCGCUUGCGUAUCACAAAGCUGCGAUCAUACCUAUAGAUUUAGCCACGGUUGGGCGAGUGCGAGCGUCUGCAGCGUUGCCCUGAAGAAAAAAUUCGUAAAUUUCCCCGUCACAAUACACUAUUUUCGCUGCGGUCGAAUGUUGUUUUGUUUUUAUCGCAAUAGAUAACAACGUUGUUGUUGUUGUUUUUCUUUUGUCGUCUCGAACCGCGACGUUCCCGCGGUAAUACGCCGAAAACAAACUCCCCGCGCGGCGCGAACCGCUCUUUUUAUUAUCGCGUGAUAAUAAUGUUGCGAUUAUCAUGAUAAUAAACGGCGACGAUUACGGCGUCGGAUCGCCGCCGCGGAAUCGUUUGUUAUUAUUAUAUGCGCGCACGUUGUCGUCGUCGUCGUCGUCGCCGUCGUUCAUCGGGACAAUAAAACGCACGGUAAUUACCCGGUAAAUAGCACGUGGGACGUUUAGACGUGGCGCGUUGUGCGUCGCCGCCGCCGUCAUGACUCACCGCCCCCGCACCCGCGGCGGGUUACCGGGGUCGAUUUUCGGGAGGGAGGGGGGGGGUCGGAAAAACAAAAGGCCAAAAAAAUAAAUAAAUAAAUAAAUAUGAAAGAAAAAAAAAAAAAUAGAAGAAGGGUGAAAUCCGUUUGCGGAACGGUAUAACUACCGUUGCGCACGCCAUCGUAAUAUUCCAUGGCCGAACGGUUUCGCGUUGUCCGCGCACGUCCAUGUUGUACACACAAACACCGUGAACUACGCAAACGGAAUGUCACCGUCGUCGUUUCCGCGCACGCACGUAAUGCGUUCGCGUUACACGUGAUAAUAAUAAUUGUCGUUAUUGAAAAGGGCUCCGGAGCAGGUUGCUGUUUGACAAUCAAAACGUAAUACUCGUUUUUAUUGUGCGAUGCGCAUUGUUACAACGAGGCGUGUAACAGGGGCGGUCAUUUGAAAACAACGUUGAAACAAUAAAGUGUAGAUAAUUCCGUGAUCGCUGAAAAAAAAAAAAAAAAAAGAAAGAAACGGAAUUUACUAAAAUUUCUCCCGAAAAAAUGAAAUUUCACCGUUCGUACACGCAUAUCGUCGUAUUGAACGAUUUUAAAAACAAAUCGACUUUAGCAGCGAAGAAACAGAAAUUAGUACUUUUAUUUUCACCGCUAACUGCGAUGUAUCUAAUCAAUCUAAAACGACGUCUUGUACUUUAGAUUCUGAGCGGUUGGUUUCUUUUUUCUGUGGACUAAUUUAUUACCAGACAUUUUGUGCCGAUGUUCAAGUGUAGCCCUAUUCUUAAAGGGGACUUUGACUGGGGUGGUACUUUGAGCAGGUCAUUUAUUUAUUUUCCCAAGGGUUUUCCUAAUAAAUGUGAAAAACCGGGAAAAAACGUAGACAAGAUAGGAAAAAUUACGGAAAUAAUGCUUUUAUUAUUAUUUUCAAUUUCGUUUUUUUAUUGUAAUAGUGAAAAAUAUUCGUAGAGACUUGACAUUUGGCCAGAAAACUUAUAUUUGUUUUUUUUAGGCGCGGUAACAUUUUCAAAUCAUUUAAACUAUUUCUAAGCUGUUGAUGGACAUUUUAAUUUUGAGAGGUUUUUUACGUAGUUUUGUAUUCGGUAGGUACUGUAUGUGGAUAAAAUUUUUAAAUUUAACAGAAAUAUUUGAAAAUUUAACAGGAGGUUCAUUAGAAGUCGUAUAAGGAACUUAAGUACCAAAUUUUGACGAAAAUAUUAAAUAUUGUCUUUCAAAACAUGCAUAUGCAUAAUUGAACCACGCUCAGAAUCGUUAUUCGAUAAUAAAUAUUAAUUAUUGUGUAUAGAAUGUAUACAUUAAAUUCCCAUCUAUAUCCCAUACCUUCCCAACUUCUCACGUACAACAGCGGCCCACCGAUCGUACGAAAUAGGUCCGACUUUUUUAAAUUACAACAUUUUAGAAGUCAAGAAACACAUAACAUUUACAGUUUUGAGUUAACUUUCCACGGAUCGUUCGACGCGACGCGAUUUCUCGUUUAUUAUUAGGGAUGAGAAGUUUUAGGCUAUUAAAAAUACGCACUUUUAUAUCUAUGUCUUCUAAUUACAAAUGGGCGAGCUGAAAAAUUAUUCCAUAACUUAGCGAGUUCAUAUUUGUGGUUUUUUUUUGCAAAUGUUUGUAUAUUCAGUGAAUUUGCACUUAUUAUUAAUGAAUUUUACCCCAUAAAACAAUAAUUGAACACAAAGCCCGUAUAGUUUCAAUAAUACAGCGUUAAAAAUCUAAAAUGCAAAAUGAAAUAUAAUACAAUAGGAUUUUACUUUAUUAUUUAAUUUUCGUACGCGUACUUUUUGACAUGUUUUCGUAAUUUUUUUAUUUUUUCUUUCUUUUUCGUGCGCGUAUUUUGUCAAUUCUUCGUCCUCCCCGGUGUAACUUCUCGUCCGCACCACUCGUGAUAUUACAACACCGCAAUGGACGGGCGCACCCUGCGCACGAUAACGACGCCCAUCGGUGUACAUUAUAAUACCGCGUACCCGCGCGUCGCACGGUUUUUUUUAAAAACCGCAACGUCGCGACGAACUCCCUGCCGAGUGGGUCGCACUAAUGAGUAGUUUCGCGCGCCCGAUCCCGACGUCUCUCGAACGCCCACACACCGUUCCCCGCGUAAAAACGUCGCCGCCGCGGCGGCCGUCUCGAGAGUGGCCGCGCCACUCGUAACUCCUUUUUACGCUUGGUUUUUUAUUUUUUCUCCCCGCAAAACACCGACGCGUGUCUGCCCGUCGCGCAUGCAGUCCGAAAGGCAUAAUGUCGUUACGUGUUAUUCUAUACGCACGGCACGUUAUUCCCCGGGGACCGGGGUCGAACCGCCGCCGAUAUCGCGCGUGUGCACACGCGGUCGUCAAGACGCGAUAGAAACGCACGGUGGAGGGGUGGGUGGGUUGACGGGGGGCGGCGAAAGCGACGACGUGUUGUUUGUCGCGCACUCGGGCGCGUUUCACGCGGGGAAACCGCGCGACGAGCCGUGACGUUAUUGUGCGCCGCGCAGGGGUGUGCCCGGCGGCGGCACGCUCGCCCGUUGGCCUACUGGCGUUUUUCAAAACGAUUUUUUUUUUUCUCCCCGGCGUGGUUCGCUUUUCUACGCGUACGUCCGUAAAGUCACCAAUUAUUCUCCGCGGAACCUGUCAAAAGGUGUGGUUGUUUUCGUUUCGUUUCGUUUUUUUUUUUUUUUUUCGUUUUUGAUUUCAUCGCGAUCCGGCCGGUUUCUCGGAGCGUUUCGCGCGAACCGAAGCGCCGCGGCGGUUUUCGCAAACGGUCGACAUCAUUCGUGUUCGCCGAUGUCUGGUUCGACCACGCGGUUUUUCAAACGUUUUUAUCCCCGGCAGCGGCGUGGACGAGCCCGGUAAACGCGACUCGGAAAAGUCGAGUACGGGGNNGGGGGGGGGGGGGGGGCUCGGUCGCCGUUCGGAAACAAGAGUUUGAUUUACGCUCGUUUACGGCAGGGUGCAGUUUUGAAAAUAUACUGCAAAUCAAAUCGUUAAACGGUUCAACAAUAUACGAGCGGAAAAAUAGAUUUUACACGAACUCGUUGUGCACCGAGGUUAAAAAAAAACAAAUUACCAUACAAUAAAAUAUUUUGAGUAAAAAACGAAUUGUCGGGAAAUGUUAAGAACAUUGCGAGUACGCGUUCUGUAUAAUAUUCGUCCGUAUUUAAAACACGAAAAAAUGAAAAUACAUUGAAAAACCGUAAAAUCAUUCGAAAAGUGAAAAGAAAACCGUCGAACAAUGUAGAAUACAAAUUUCACUUUUUAAGUAUCUUUUACACGAAUCGCAAAUUAUGUACUUGGAUUGCUCGAGAGCAGAAAAAAAAACGGUCUUAGCAUUGAAUACAAAAGUAAUAAUACAAUUGAAUGAUCCCACUGUAUAAUUAUUAUUACAUAGGUAUAAAAAUGAAAUAAAUCAAAGAAUACGCUCGAGUGGAAAGUUUUCGAACUUUUUCCGCAGGCCCUCGCGAUCGAAUCCCGGGGCAAGGGCUGCAGUCAAACAAUGUUUUUUUAUUAUUGUUAUUUAUUUAUUUUUUUUUAUUACACAACAUAAUAUUAUGCACCUGUUUAUAAUAUCGUGUACAAAACACCGUGUCUAACCGUAUUGAUUAUUAUCUGUGUCGGGAAUUCAGUCGGAACGAAAACGGCCGAGUGUAAUAAUAAUAAUAAUAAUUAUAUACACUCCCGAUAAAUGUGUGGGCUUCUUCGUGUUUUAACAGAUCGUUUUUCUCCUACGAUUUUAACCGGUUUUAGAAAUUGUAUUAAUUAGUAUUGGGAGAAAAAUUAAAAAGAUUUUUUUUUUUUUUUAACAUUUACAAUCCGAUUAUUAUAAUGAGCAAAUUCGACAGAAAGGUCCAGGAAGAAAAGUAUGAUCGAGGCAACCACCCGUUGACGGUAUCCCUAAAAAGAGUUUUAAAAGACAGAUAUAAAAAAAAUAGAUCAAAUCUAGAAAUUUUAUAGUUCUCAGUCGUCCGUUCCGGUAAAAAUUCUUUCUUUUCCACCACCGGUAUUUUACUCGGUUUUUAGUAUACACCCGCGGCUUCGGUUCGAAUGAUAUUUUAUGUUAUUUCCGGACUCGAUUCGACGACGUUUGAAAUAUUAGUCCGAGACUCGAUCGGCAAUGUUGUCGGCCCGUAUAGCUUGAUAAACGAAUAUUUAUUAACAUUGUCUUUGUUUUUCUGUUACAGAUAUUUUUGACGAAAGAGCCGCCUUGAUCGGUAAGCGUGCAGCGUUAUUUCAGAAUCAGUUGCGGAUAAUAAAAAACUAAUUAAAAACAAAAAUGUCCUCUCAGAAUGUCGCCGUAGUGAAUUUAACGUAAUUCGACAUAUACACACGAGCGUAAAAACUUCACGGUGAACCGGAUCAACGGGUCGCUAAUUAGGUAAUUCCGUCUCGUUGUCCUACGGACAUUGAACACGACAAUUGGCAAACCGCACGACACGAUGGUUCUGAGGCACGGAUUUUGCCGUCAAUGUUCCGAAGUGCUGCUCGUCGUCUGCACAAUUACAAUGGCCAUAACAGGUGAGUGAAUUCGGUUUCAUUAUAAUAUUUAUAAUAGUUACUGUUAAAUGGUUAUUGGGCAAAUAAAUAGAGGUAUGCAAUUAAGUAUUUUCACGAAAUUUUCAAAAAAUAAUAUUAUAAUUUCGGAGGUCUCUAAAACUAUAAAUUGAAAAUUGACUUCCUAAAAAAUCUAGACAAUUUGUCAACAAACGCAUACCAUAAACGUUUUAAUCGGACAUCGGGGAGUUUUAUUCGUGUAAAAUAUACGAACACUAGUGGCGUCCUGACCUCCUUAAGCUAUACACGAACUGCAAUAUUGCCACCUAACAUCGUCCAGUGGCGAGAUUCGCAUUUGCAUAUGGGGGACGAUAUCUAAAAAAGUUCUGUAUACACAUCCAUCAAACAUAUUUUCGAGUAUAAAUUGAUAAAGUAAAAUGCUUGAAUGAAUAGGCAUCAAGCCUACUCUUUCAAACAAUGCUUCUGUUAUUAUAAAUAAUACUAAUGUGUCAUGACGAAGUUGACAAUGUGAGGAAAUUCAUAAAAUGUUAAUUAGUGAAUAAACAAAAAAAAAGGCGAAAGGAAUGGAUAUGACACUCUCAUCUCCCCUCAUAGCAUGAGUAGUAAUCAUAAUAUCACAGCGUUCUUAUAAACGAGGUAAACCCAGAAAUCAACAAUAAUAAUACCGACGUAUCGUUAUUAAAUUGUUGAAUUAUUCGCGUGUUUUCGUUAUAACAUUAUUUUAAACGCACUAAAACACUAUAAUGCACUUUGCCCGCGUUUAGCGGACUGAUUACUAAUUUCUAAGUCCGUUAAAUCUUCGGGUUUGUUUUAUUCGUUUCUAUUAUUCCGGACAAUAAAAUAAUAAUAUUUUAACACGGCACGGCGUCGAAGUCUUUUAUCGUCGAGUUUUUUUUCCAUAAACUUUAUUUCAUUUUUCAUUCGCGGAUUCUUAUUGGAAAAGGAAAUAAUCAUCACUGUUUUUGCACAUUUUGCUUGUCUCGCGCUCAUCCGGUUAAAAUAUUUAAACCGGAAAUCCUUCGCUUGGACGUCAAACUGAUUUUAAAGAUUAUAGUUUUAUUCUACUUGUAUAUACCGUUGAAAAACAAAAAAAUAUUUGAUCCUUUUAUAAACGACAAAAUCACCAGUAAGCAGUAGAGAUCUGACAUCAUACACAGGGUCGAAUUAUUUCCCGACUAUUUUGUAUUAUAAGAACAUUCCGAUUUCUGUGCAAAACAAUAAAUAACCAAAUACUACAAUAAUACUACUAAUGUUAUAAAUGCGGAAGUUUGUGAUUCAACUAUGCCAAAACAGACGAACGGAUUUGGACGAAAUUUAGCACAUAGAUAGAAUAUAUUAUAUUAUGUAAUACCGUCAGUAAUACUUGCCAGUGCGAAAAAAGGCAAUAUUUUCCGGGAUAACGAGUGUCUUAUCGAGGUAUGAUCACUCUGCAUACGAACUAAUGAGUAGUUUUCAUCACGAAUAUUUUGUUUGUCGACACAUAUGACGAAAAUUAAUUUUUUUUUUUUUUUUUUUAUUAAAUUUAUUAGAUUCGCGUGUUCACGCGUAUACCGUGAAUUUUGUCGGAACGUUUAACAAAUCCCAUACCGUCGAACACGCAGUUUUUGUUUAUGUAGUUUAUAUUAUUAUCCUAUUAAAUGAAAAAAAAAAAAAUCGAAUAACGGUAAACGUGCCGUAAUAAAAUGUAUAUUUAAUUUGAAAAAAAAAAUAAAAAAAUAUCUUCUCGUAAAACAUUUCAUUCCUCUUUCCUGCGUUUUAAUAUUAAAUUAGUUUUCAAUUUGCCAUGAAGACCGAGUGAAUUUAAUUACACCUUUAUGUAAACAUACGGAUGUAGUUGAUAUAUUUUGUUUGAAUUUUUUUUCUUUUUAAAUUUAUUAUAGUAAUUUUUUUAUUAUGAAUUUUUCAUUUUUCUCCCCCCAAACUAAUAACACCUCUAUAUUGUGCGAUAGGCGCGACCCCGGACUGACAGGUGUGUAAGGGCGAGGCGGCAGACAUGUGCCUGCGUUACGAGGCCGAACGAACGUCACGAGCUAAUAUUGUUGGGUAUUAUGACACAAUUGAGCAUAAAAAGAUUAAGCAAAUUCGUCAAGAAUUUAGAGAAGAAAUAAAGACGACUUAAUCGUAUGGUAUUAACACGCAUUAACGAAAAAUAAUAUAAAAAUCUAUGUAAACAUUAACAAUGACAGCAGGGACACUUAAACGUUAGGUAAAGUUGCAUCCGAAACUAUUGCUCGUUUAAUGGCUAAUACACUUGUGAUGACAGUCUUAUUCUUAGGUUUGCCAACUAUUUCUGAGCGCAUGGGUCCUCUUUAUAUAGCUGUUUGGUACCACCGAUGAACUUUGUUGUCGGACACUCAUCAGUUAAGUGUUGAAUCGACUGUGCUUCGCCACAAGUGUAUAGAGCCAUACCCUAUUUAUGCAAUGGCUCGUUGCGUUUUCAUUUUCGAACUAUUUUAUAAAAAUAAAAAAGUAUGAGUUAAAAAAAAAAAAAAAAGAAAAAAAUUUCAUUGAUCGUGGGUUUAUUUACCCGUUUGAUAAUAAUAAAAUAUUAAUACUUGCAGCGAAGUUAAAAUAAUAUGAAAUAAAUCAAAUCGAUACCAUCUUGGUAAGUGUUGUUUCGUUUCAUCUGGUUUGGAUAGAAUAGUACAGAUUUUCAGUGUUUUUACAAUACUCCGGCAACGUGCACGUGGCAACGUCAUCACGUAAACUAUUCCAUAUUAUGCUCAAUCGCGUUGAUAAAAACGAAUACACUCAAUUUGUAACACGGUCAAUCGUGUCUUCACGAACUAUUUUGUCGUUAGUGAUCGAUUACAGUGUUACGGUAACGCGUUGGGCUUUUCUUAAACGACACGUGCUCUUCGCGUGUUUACUGACCGUUCGUAUUCCAUGCUCUAGCGCAGUGGUUUUCAACACGUCCGUCGCGACGCUCAGGCAGCGGCGGAUUCGAUUCGUUUUCUGGUGGGUGAGGGGGGGGGCAAUAUUCUUUUGGUUCAAAAGUUAAACUUUUAACUAUUUUCCCGGUUACGUGGUCAGGGAUGACCCGGUAAGUAUGAAAUAUUCAGGGAAGAGGGUAGAUUCUUUUGAAUAAAAACCGUGAUUAUGAUUUGUUAAACACUGUGGAUACGGAUUUCCGAAAGAAAUUUUUAUUCGUGUGUAGUCCGAAGUCUAGGCGGCGGUCACGAUCUGGGGUGUCGCGGUUCGGUACUGAAAGGGUGUUAUUAUCAUUAUUCGCGAGGGGGCCGCAAAUUUGGUUUUCAAAAUCAAAAGACCCGCGGGCUAGCGGUUCGCGGGGACAACGGGAUUCGUCGUCGUCCCGGACGUUAAAAACGCGACGAGAUUUUUUUUUUCUUCUAACGUUUCUCCCGCCCACGUCAUUAUGUUACGAUUUCGUAACGAAAUCGUUUCGCGGACGACACGCGCGCCGCCGGAGUUUUCGGAUUUUCGACAAUGACGCGCGGUCGUAUACGACACUGCAUUAUUGUUAUUAUUAUUAUAUUAUUUGUGUAUAUAAACGGCUAAAAAAAAAAAAACCUAUAACGUUAUUAUAUUCCACGCGCGUUUUAUCGCCGCCGCGGCUGCACAAUAACACGCGGUGCCAGUAUUAAACAGUAACACAAUGACGGUCGCGUAUAAUUAUGGCGUGGGUGUAAGCAGAGUACACCGCUGAAAAAAAAAAAAAACGAAUAAACGUUACGGCCGCCGGCCGGCGAAAAUACGAAAAAAUUAUAUUUUUUACUACACGGUUGUUCCCGUUUGUGUAUUAAUAUUAUUAUUAUUAUUAUGAAACGUAAAAAAACAAAACGAAAUCUCGUCCGGGGGGAAACAAUACCGCGCGGCGGCGCGUUUCCGAUUGUUUUUUUUUUUUUUUAUAUAUUCUCUUCUAUUAUGUACAGUGUACAGUGACGACGACGGGCCACAAAAUAAUAUUAUAAACUACUAUGCGACGCACGAUAAACGCGCGGGGUGUUUUUUUUUUUCGUUUUAACGACGCGUUUAUUUUUGUAUUCCGUUUUUAAGCGCUUGUCAUUAGGUUUCGGUUCAUACAUACUACGCCUGCAGCUAUACGCGUAACGGCGAUAAUACGGGGUUUUUUUCGUUUUUAUUAUUAUUGUAAUUCGUGGGUGUACAUACGCGCGUGUACUUUUCGUUUUUAUUUUCGUUAUAAACAUAUAAAAACAGAAAAAAACAAAAAAAAAAAAAAGACAAAAAAAUGAUGACAUUUUCGCGUAGGUAGAUAGGUAUUAUUGUCGUAUACCUGGCCGUAAUAACGGCGGCGGCCGUGACGGACGCACGCGAUUGAGCCGAAACCGACGACACGGAUUAAUGGGCAGCCGGGCAACAGCAGCUGAUAUAAAAAAAAAAAAAAAAAAAAAAAAACAAAGGUUGUUUUGACUAUAUAUAUAAAUAUACGAGUACGUGUCCCGUGUGUGCGAAACGCAAUAAAUUUCCCAUUUAAAAACGAAGAGCUUAAAACGUUAAAAACGAAAAAAAAAAAAAAAAAAAAAAAUGGGAAGCGUUUUAUGGCAUUUUUUCCGCCUCCCCUCGAUCGUUCGCGGAAAUGGCUUUUUCGCGCCCGCGUUCCGCCGGACCUUUUAAAUGGGCCCGCCAUUACCACUCAGCUACAGGCAGGUGAUGGGCACCCGCGCGGGUGUAUAAUAUACUCGUACGGCGCGGUACUAUUAUAAUAAAUAAUUACGCCGUUCGGAAAUCUUAAAAGACUUUCGAACGCCCGGCCUUUACAAUACGACCGUGGAUUCCGCCGAUAUUCCAAUAGCGCGAUCAAUGCACGAGCGUAGGCGCGACGAGGUUUCUUUCUUUUUUUUUUUUUACAUACGGAGCCGACGAAAGUUUUUUUUGCAAACACAUUUUCUACCGGAAAGCUCACUCAGAUCGUGCAAUAAAGGAACUUUUCUGAAAGAAAAUGUACUCCGGGCGAUGCUUCACACGGGUAAUUUUUUUUGAAAUUCUCAUUAAUAUUCGAGAUUACGAGGAUAAUCUGGUUCUUUAGAUUAAAUAAGAUUGAAAGAUUAGAAACAAGUCUGCCGUUGAAAACCGUUUUUAAUCAGUUAUUGUUGUUGCCGUUGAGUUUUUAUUUUUUCAAUAUUUUAUAAACGAUCGUUGUUGUAAACGUUUUUGCCGUCAGAUGACAUGUACGUUGUAACACUAUCAACUCCGCUCAGAAACGUUUUUUUUUUUUCGUUAGCAACGGUUUAUUAUCCAUUAAAUUCCCGUCCGUGUCCUACCUCCCCAGCUUCACAUACACACACAUAACCGGCCACGUGCGAAGUAUGUCCGUCUUUUUUUGUCUCUUUAAAUAUUUUAAAUGUUUGCAAAAGCAGCGGUAAUGUGUUGCACGUUCUGUCACGCAGCAAAACGCCCCGCGAAACGACCGGCGCCGCCCGCAACAGUGGCCGCACCCGCGUGUGAAGCGCGUCCGUCCCUUUUACCCGCUUUUCUCACCGAAAACCGUUAUUAUCGGUUACGAAUAGGCGCGAACCGUUUGACGCGUCACCGCCAGAGUACACGCACCGUAGCCACCAGGACGACCCGACCGCCGAAACUAAUCCGGUGUCCGCGAUCGGGCGCGAGAAUCCUCUCGCCGAGCCACCGCGAGACACAAUGGUAUCCGGAGAGCCGAUUUCCGUCCCGAACACGGACAACGUUAACGGAAGUGCGCCGCCGGUACUCUGGAUAAACUGCGUUCCGUGAUACGCACGGUGUCCACGCCGUUGCGGCGGUCAAACGGUUUUAUCGCGGUGGACCGGUGACGACGAUUUGCCGGAACUGCUAUCGCAAUAAACGCCCUCGGCUUACCGACACCCAAUCGAUCGUUUCUACUUGCGCACGCGCUGAUUUGUUAAGCCGUUUAAAUAUGUUCAAUUCAAAACCGAUCGGUGGAACAUUCGCGCGAAAAAUGCCCGAACUAUUGUAGAAAACGUUCAGCGGGCCGGCCGCUCCAAUGCUAUCCGCAAGUCCUCCAGAUAAACGCCUACCGAAAACGCAUCGCGUUCCGCUGCGUUUUCUAUACACGCACAGAGAAAACCGAACGACAUCGUGAUUUUUGUUUUACACAUAAUUUAACGAAAUCCCGAACGAAAAUAUGCCGGCAAAAGACGUUUACGUGUCGGAUAAGUACCGCCGUACAAUAAAACACCGGCGUGGCCCGUGCUCCGGGAGUGUGUAAAGAAAACCACAGCUCUCUAUUACCCGUUAGAAUUCUCGAUAACGUAACGGUUACCAAACGGUUUUGAGAGUUUGGAAUGCGCGCGGACGAAUUAUCGGGGAACAGAUAAAACAGGAGAUCAAAGGCGCCACGGCGGAGUGAAUAAUGGACCGACCUCGACAUAAUAACGCGCGCGCUGCUCGGAUAAAGGCGAUGUAAACAUAUGCUGAUUACACCUACGAAUCUGACCGAUCGCCGUUGUAGCUCGAAGAGUGAGUUGAAAGAAAAGUUUAGCGUGACUGUGGAAAUUUCCCGAUUAGCGAAUGAAUGUUACCGGGAUUACAAUUACGGCCGAUUGGGACCGUCAUUUCUAACGUAACAGUGCGGUUAUUGAAAUAUGAUUGUUAACAUUGCGUCUUCGUUAUCGCUAAUAAAAACUAACGGACAGAAAAAAAACACCGAAAACCGACAAGCAGUAGACCGGAUGGAAAUAGCAGGCGCUGUCUCGUAAUCGCCAAUACUAAUCGAGUAUUAUUCCUGUCGGUGUUGAGUUCUGACAAUUUUUCCGGAGGGGGAGGGCGUCACUAAAAUCACAGUAACGGAACCUUUUUUUGUUUAUUUAAAAUUUUACUUAAUUAUUAACUGGAAACCUAACUGUUAAACUAUUAAUUUGUCCACACUUAACAGGGAGCUAAAAUUCCACGGUCGGCUGUCGCCCCCGUCAUAUACCUGGUUUCAACACUAAUUCCUUUAGCACGCCAGCAGAGUCGAUAAACUAUUAUCGUUUCUCGGUGACUGCUGCGACGGUGUAAAUUACAAAACAAAAAAAAAAAAAAGGAAGAACAGGCGGCAAAGAAUUUUGCCGUAUUUCAUCGCCACUUAUUGACGACGCCGACGGCGAUAAAAAUCAUAAACGGUCAAAACGGUUUCGUUUGAAGCGACUUAUAAAUCGAUUAAACAUUUCGAGUCAAACAAUUCCUCCGCUGUCCUUUAUCAUUCCGCCGUUGCCACUGCCGGACGCGACCUUGACUCCGGAACGGACACGAGCUUUUUUUUUUUCAUUUUGCCUUUUUUUUUUUUUUCUCGGUGUUGUUGCUCGUUAUUAUCACCGUCGGUGGUAUUGCCCCGUGUAUCGUACCCGUCAUAUAGGUACAAUAUUCGUGUAAAUAGUGCCCGAAGGAUGGGGGGGGGGAGCGACGGGCGGAGCGGCGGCAAUGUUGUCAAACUCGGCACGACAUCCGAACACGGGGAGAGAGAUGAUUGAUGAUCUUUAUAAUAUCGCGGGCGCAUAUAUUCGAGCAUAUCAUAUACACGGUCGCGCGUACGUACUUACGUUUACAUACAGGGUGAUUAUUUCGCGCGUAGCGAACCGGCGAAAACCCACAGCCGAGUCGAUUGGCGUUGACGGUGUUUCCGUCAGACCCGCGUGCGCGCGCAGUAAACCGUCCGAACGACACCGCGUUUACGAUAUUACCGCGUUUGGUAGGCCGUUUCGCUUUUUACAUAUUAAAACAACAAUAAUAUUCCGGUGUGAAAUCGCGGGGUUAAAAAGAGAAAAGGAAUAAACACGCUAACCGAAUGCUGCGGGAACGCGAUGCGAUUUUUCCGGCGCGACAUCGCGGUAACCGACUCGCGACGGCGAUUGGGUGUGGGGGGGGGAAACAAUAAUAAUCGAAUUUACCCGAAACGAUCGCCCUGUAUAUAUAUAUAUAUGUAUACAUAUAGUACGCGGUGUCGGGCUGUUGGGCGGCGUGUACAUAAAUUCUCGAUGAUGUGUGCGCGAUAUAUUCGCAUACACAUAGAAUAUCGAUCAUCUGCCACGGAGCGUCGCACUUAACCUAAAACGCCUUUCGCCAGACGGUUCCCUUCCUCGCUCGCGCCCGCCNNNNNNNNNNNNNNNNNNNNNNNNNNNNNNNNNNNNNNNNNNNNNNNNNNNNNNNNNNNNNNNNNNNNNNNNNNNNNNNNNNNNNNNNNNNNNNNNNNNNNNNNNNNNNNNNNNNNNNNNNNNNNNNNNNNNNNNNNCCCCCCCCACCCCCUCACGUCCCGUAACCGUCUAUCGCGACGACAAAGUCACGCCGCGCGUAUUAUAUUAGACACGCGCGCGCAUAAUGGGCAUCUACACUGUACGCACUUUUCGUACAGCGACCGGGGCGGGGGGUGGGGGACAAGGGUUGUUGCGCGGGAAGCUGUCGGCUUUUUCAAACAGUCUUCCCGUACAUAAACUCCGCACGGGAGACGCGGACACUCGGCGACGACGACACCGCCGCCGUGGACGUCGCGUUUCGGAUCGGUAAUCCUCCGUCGAAAAAGAUUUCCCAUCCCUCUCAUCACCGCCCCACCCUAAUCCCCUCUUUUCUCACCGUCCACUCGGCCGGCGAAUCGCGAUCCGCCGUCUCGGAUAAAAUAUUUACGUGGAUUUUAAAUAUUUCGCGGUAAACGCGCACGUGUCUACGCCUCGACCCGGGUCCGUCCUAGACAGGUAUACGCCGACGGAUUUUCGUUUUUCGAUCGGUUAUCAAUAUUUACUACUCGCACUAUUCCCGCGCGAAUACGUCGAAACGAUUCGACGUCACUACAGUUUUUCCCGCCGCCAAGGUUCGGCCGGAUGUCCGCUACCGAUUCUCAUCACGAUCGCGUCGCAUCGUACAUUAUUAACCAUUGAUAUUCCGGGCCGACGACGGUUUAUUCGUAUUGAUAAAUUCCCAUUUUUUUCCCGGGGGUUUUUCGUUAAAAUCGCCUUUUCAAAUACUUGUCGAUACAACACGAAUACAGCGUAUUUUCACAUCCGUGCAAGCAGUCGACGUAGGCGUAUCGAUAUUAUUUAUAAUUUAAUAAACAAAAAAAAACAACAACGGGUAUCCUCAUGGUUUAAGGUGUAUAACGACGCGAACGAUAAUACGGAGCAUUUUCGCUAACCGAAAAAGUUUUUCUCGAGAAAAAGCAUAGAUCUAUGGAUGGACAUCCAUACCACACUCUAAUGGUUUUUUAUUUCUUUUUUCUUUUUAUUUAGUCCCUUGUCGAACGAUUUUUUUCCUCCAAAUAACGGUUCCAACGAACAAGACUCGGCCUUAUCCGGCAGGAAGUAACGACUAACGAGUAUAAUAUUUCAUAAUAUACGGUUUCAAUGUAUUACUAUUAUUUUUGUUCAUCCUAGACACGUCCCGCCAGUCGCUUUGUUUUAUAGUAAUAAUACGUUGUGUUUCGUUAUGAUUAAACAUGAAAUCCGAAUUUCCGACCAAGAUUUUUUUUUUUUUUUGGUAUUCUGUAGUGUUAACAAUUAGCCGCAAAUUAGCGAAACGAUUGAUUUCCGGACGCGCAAAACCGCUUUUCGCUCUAUGUAUUUUGACAAAAAAAAAAAAAAACACCGCAUUUCCAGUUUGCUGAAUUCAGACGCUGUCGUCUGCAGGAUAUACAACACAUGAUAUAGCUACCUGAAAAAAAAACGCGUAUGUCGAAAGAUUACGGGUUUUCAGAUAUUGAGCGCAGAGAGGAAUAUAUAAUGCGGUUUUACGAUAGUGUAAUGGUAUAAGUGUUUUUUUUUUUUUUUUGUGCCUGUGAACUGAAUUUUUCUACCAUAAAUCUUACUCCAAUUUUCAAGUAUAAAGUUAUUUCUGAUAGAAAACUGUGUCUUGUUGGCGUAUUGGAAAAGUAAUUUUUCGUCGAUUUUCUUUUGUAGAUUUUUAAUAAUCGGGAAAACCGUAGGGAGACGGAAAUUUUUUACGAAAACGACGGUUUUUACCGUUUUUGAAUAUGGUUAAAAAUAAUCAUAAAGAUUCACGAAAUAUUUUAUAUUGGCCUUUUCUAGACGUGAUAACAUUUUCAAUACGUUCAAACGCAAACAUCGCGUUUUAUGAGCGAGAUUGGUUUUUUAACGAAAGUUUUUUCUCGAGGAAUCAAGGAAAGGGUUACUCUUGGUAUUUUCUUACGCGUUUACUCGAACGAUCGCAGAAACUUUUCCCUACCCCCGCAUUGCGACUCGUCUUCACUAUUGUGUUACGCGCUAUUAUUGCCGGCGAACAAUUCGUUUUUGAAUUCCACCAGACGUCAGAAAAAAAUAAAACCACGUUUAGUGAAACAUAAUAACACGACAACAAUUUCGUUAUGGAAAUUAACAUUUUAAUGAAAACCGAAAAUUGGUUUUGCGAGCGCGGUUUCAAAGCGAACGUCGAAACAUAGGCGUAUGUACUCGAAACACGCGUGUUUUACCAUUCCGUCAGAAGUCGAUUGCGAUGUAAAUUUUAAUUUACGGUAAAUUCGAUGUGGAAUUAAUUUCAGUACGCGUCUCGUAUAUUGCAAUUAGCGUAAUAUAUUUUGUUGCAGACCGGCGGCGGCGGUAGGCACCGAAACGUGAUUGUUACGGGAUUUCAAAAAAAAAAACCUGCACCCGCAGCAUCCGAUAUACAGCGGGGUUUAUUAAACGCGCAACUUAUUAAAAGUUGUUGGUUUUUCGAAUGUCCGCCGCGCGCGUGCAUCGCGUGUACAAUAACCAUUUUAUGAUUGCGAUUUUCGAAAAACCGAGAAGUUUCGCUAGUAGAAUUAUCGUCGACGAGUGGUGACGACGCGCUGUUUGUUAUAUUUCGUGACUUUGCUUUAACGUUAAUUUCACUUUGAAUGCGUUUAAUAAUUCGUGUAUUACAAUUCAGCGUCCUCGGCUGCGGCGGCGUUCCUCUCGUUCCAAAUAUAUUGUCCGCGGGACGUCUCAUUAUCGCGCGGCGAAACUGCGGGUCCGCUCUGUCCCCCGGAAUCUCGGCGGGAAUUUUAAAACGUUCUACGCUCGCGGAACCGAAUACGUCCUGAGAACAGUGCCCGAUUACACUGCACAAAACACUAAAGCCGUGUUGUUUUAUUUUGAAUCGCUAUUUAACGAAAACCAAAAUCCAAAAGCGGUGUCGCCUCCGAAAACCACGCCGACGCAGAACAACGGUAAUAUUACAUUCCGUUUUUUUUUUUUUCAUACAAUUUCUAUAACUAACGAAUUCCGGGGAAAGAAAAAAAAAAUAUACGGAAAAUAUGCGCGGGGCCACCGUUGUAGACGGACGGUUCGAAAGGUGAACGGGAACUUUAACGCGCAUCUGUGCGUAAUCAUUAACCGCCGCUAACGAAAAAACCGUUCUGAGCGGAGUUCGGUCGAUAAUGUCGCUCUGUCAACAAUAUAAUACAAUGCAUCCACAUAUCAUCGUGGUAAAAUAAAUAAUCGCGUAUGCGUUGUACAAUAUAUUCUUCGAUAAUAUCCGUUUGAUACCGUACCUAUUUUUCCGGAAAAACUCCUGAGAAUAUCCCGAAAACGACGUCUCUCAAGUACCGCCCCCGUGAGAUUUCCGUACCGCGGGCCGGCGGAGUGAUUUCGAAAAACGUGAAAUUACAUCGAGUUCUAGACGGCGGACGGGGACGCGCGGGCCGCACAACCGCGCGCGGCCAUUUCCGAUUCGCGCGCGCGGCGCGGCGAUAAUACGGGAGUUUAGGGGGCGCACAUUGUCGUUGUUGUACGGCCGCCGCGCGGCAAUCGGUGACCGGCGGUACGGGUACCCCCGGGUACCUAAUGGAUUGGACGACGGCCAAGUCCGCCGGGUUCGUUACGUUAUUGUUAUUAUUACCGUCACCGUUAGUUUGUCGGCGCGCGACGGGCCCGGGCGCAUAAGGCGGAACCGGCGCAAACUAAUAAAUUCAUUUGCGCGUGCCCCCUACUCCGCACCCCGCACCGUGCGUGGUAUGCGCGUAACGCACGCGUGCCUACUCGUUCCCGUCGGCGCGCGGCGACCCCGGUUUCCGGGACGUCGCGCGCCUACGCGAAACCCGCGGCCGCGUUCGACCGUCACCCGCGCGGACAUCGCGACGGUUUGUGUCCGGUCGGUCGCGUCGAGACGCGUUCGGCCGGAACGCAAAUCCUGUCGGUCCGGUGACGAGAGCCGGUGAAUCGGUGAUCCGGGACGACAAUUGUGCGCGGCCGGGUCGGGAGGAGUCUGCGCGAUAAAAAAAAAAAAAAUAAAUAACACGUACGCGCUCGAGGCGCCCGAUCGUUCGGGAUUGUCGGUUUUUUGUGUCGAUUGUCGUCACGCGUCGGUCUUUUCCAACGAUUUGUGCGUUUUGAACGCGUCCGACCGGUCGAUCGGCAAUCGCGAGUCCCGCGCGUCGCGUAGUCUGCGAUCGAUGUGCGUUAUCGGUCAACAAAUUUUCAUUCCCGUAUCGAAUAGAAAACCAUCAUUUCGACCGCGUUCCUUCGUAUUGUUCUUUCGGUUUCCCACCUCCCUCACCUCUCGUUUGAAUCGUCUGUCGCCAAAGCUACAAUUAUUGCAAUGCAAGUUUCUGUUACGUGCUGAACCGAAAACAUCCGAAAUAAGAGGACCCGAAACGAUAAUAAUAAGGUAACGGACCGAAGAACAGACUGCGGUAACCGGGUUCAACUUGAUUCAAAAGUCGGUUAGGAAAACCACAUUUUCCCGGCUAUCACGUGCCCACACAAUUGCGCGGACUCGAAACAAUAAUUAAUAAUGUAACGGACCGAAGAAACGAUUAAGGUUCCAAGACUCAAUUCAGAGGUAACCUAUAGUUAUUUAAACGGGGUUACCUAGUGUUUUGUAGUACUCACCGAUCGACGUACACCUAUAUGCUCACUUUUGUUUUUGAUCGAUUCAGUACAAAUUACCGUGGUCUUUUAAUACAAAAGCGUAGCAAAAUUCAAAAUUACCCACCUGAGUUGAACCGCAGCAGGAGGUACAGCAAUCAUUUAGCUAACGCAUCGGAGAUUGGAGGAGGCAUUUCUACGUUAGAACACCGCGCCGCACAAGGACCUAACAUUCCCUUGGCCGUCCGACUAGUAAAGCUAAUUACCAAAGGUCUCGCGGUACGUUUCAUGAUUUGAUACAGUAUGCGUCCAAGGAAGAACCUUGCGUAUACGACACGCCUUUAUAAGGGCUUUAUAUCCAAAGACGUUUGCAAUAGUACAACCUAAAAAAAAAAAAACCGCAGUAAUAAUAGUCGAGGUGAAAACGGGUAAUUUUCAGGAAAGUGGGUUACAAUAAUUAAUGAUUCUGUAUUUGGUAAUUGAGUUCCGUUUUUAAUUUCCCAGGUAAAUCAAGUCCCGUUUAAAAAAAAAAUAAUAAUAAUAAUAAUAAAAGUAAUUAAGUGGUGAAACGAGCACCGUCUUUUAAAAUUGAAUGAGGUAAGUCGAGUCGCAGAUAAAAAUCAAAUCUCCGGCUUAUUUGAAAUAUAAAAGGAAAUACCGCGAUGAGGCGGUCGGCUGGAACGUAUACAGGAGUAAAUUUAUUUAAAAAAUGUAGGACUCAAUUUACUGUUUUUCAAAAACGACACGUAUAUUGAACUACACGGUACUUGCUCAGUUUACUGUUGUGCUCUAACGGUUGUUUGCAUGUAUUAUUCUCGACAAUCUUUAAUCGGGCUAAAAUGUAAUGGAUUAGAAAAUGAAAUAAUAUUCGCGGUAUCGUCGUAUUAUGCAUAAUAAUGGUUUUUGGUGGAGGGCGUGUGAAAAAGUUUCGAGUGGUCGGUUAUUACAAAAAUACAGAGUCGAGAAGUUGUCCGUCUUUUGCCGGGCUUUCAGUUAAAACGAAAAGAGUGGGGGGGGAGGGAAAUGAAUUAACGUCGCCGAAAAAAACGAUAAAAAAGCGAGCCGAGGGAGGGAAAAAACAAAGAGGAGAGUGGGUUUUAACGAAGAAGAGCAGCGAAAAAAAAAACAAAAACCGAACGAGGGGAUUAUGUUGUCGUGAACGAAAAUAAAUAAUAAUAAUAAUAAUGCUAACAACGAUAUCAAAAACCCGAGGAGGCGCCGGGCCGGACUAAAAGAGUAUAAUAAUAAUAAUAAUAAUAUUUUUCCCCUCUUGUAUAAAAAUAUUUUUGUUAUUUAUUUAUUUACUUAUUUUUUGUUUUGACAAAUGGACAUCAGUCCGUCGGACCGUGCGCCGCGUUACGCGCGAUGAUGUCUUCACUCAUCAUAAUUCAAAACCAUCUGCUCGCCUCUAAUGGCUCGUUCUGGUGACGAGGAACGCCGCCGGUUUUGGCAUCGUAACCCGGCACUCCGUAGAGCUAGUAUACGCAUUUAAUGUGCAUAUAUAUGCACACCGACCCUGCACGUCACUUCGUCUCAACUCCCGCACGAGAGAUGCCCCACUUGACUUUAUACACUCGCCAUCCCUUGUCUGGGUCCCUUUCCCUAUCGGUCUUCGCCCGGGGAGGGAAAGUAAGUUUCGGCCAUCGUAUCCGCGCGAAUCCCACUGUACCAGCGGCAGUGGCGGUCUAUCGACCACCCCGAUACGACGGCGCGGCGACGACGACGUUUAGCGGAUGUUUUGAGUACCUACUUUACUAAAAUAACAUAGUGUUAUUUGAUUAUAUGAUUCGUUGAAAGUUUGUCGUUUUCAAGGAGAAACGAUAAUACGUUAUUAUCGGAUAGUGUCUAGCUGAGAUGCGUAUCAAGAAAUAUUCGAAAGACGAAAAAAAAAUAAAUAUUGUUUCUCUAGAAAUACGGGUGUCCCACCCAAUAAGAACGUUGAAAAAAAAAACGAGUCUAAAAAGACAAAACAAAACUACACGAUUUUGUACAAAAUGAAUUGUGAUUUUAAGUAUGAGAUAUUAUGCCGUUUAAAUUGUCCGAUUGCCCCUCUCUCUGGGACUGUUGACUUGUCCUAACGCCGUAGAAAGCUUGGCUGUAACUGCCUUACAGUUCUUCUUGACGAGAUUCCCGGCGACGUGAACUCUUCGAAUUUUUCAUUUUAAAUAAAGAAAUCUUCGACGACAGUUCAAGGCUUCGGUGUAAUCUUCGUAAACCCGAGAUUUCACGGUACCCCCAAAGGACGAAAUCACAUUACACGCGGUUGUCUGUUUUGAUCUGCCUGAUCAAGAAUCACUGUCGCAUUAUAGUAAAUAACGAAAAUGGCAAAAACAAUACAGUCAAUUGAAUAACGACGAAAACAGCAGUCAGUUUUUUUUUUUUAAAAAAAAAAGUCGUUCUUAUGCAAUUCGUUCCGGUCCAUCGCCAAACAUAAUAUGAAUAAUUUCUCGAUAAUGUGCAAUAAUAAUCGACUAAGACGUGUCUAGUAUUGUUUUUGAACAGCGGUUCCCGGCCUUUUUGACACUACGGACCAGUCGGACCAGACGUUAAAUAGGCCGCGGGCCACCUCGAUUUGCCGACAAUCUCCUUUACGGUUUAUUUCUUCGCAUCUACGGGACAAUAAUGACAUGCGUAAUACCACGCGAGAUGCUUUCCGUUACACGGACCACCGACACGGGUCGGACUCAACUGCAGUGUCGGAAUCCGCGAAAAUCGUAUGCUUGUUGAUUCGAUCGUUACGGGAACGGGUCGGUCCGAGAAAAGAACAACCCGUUGGACGGUAAUGAAAUCAAUAAAUGCGUACCGUUGAAACAAGUCGAUAUUACGUAAUAUCACACAGACCCCCCGGCUCCGUGAUGUCCGAUGUCAACUCGUACAUGACUGUACGCCGAUGUUUUUUUUUUUUCCCCUCUAAACAAACAGAAACCUUUUAGUGUUAUAUCAUAGUGUAUGCGUUAUACGACUAAUGCCGCGAACCGAUUAAGUGUUGUGUAUAGGUACCGUACAGGUACUUAAUGCGUGGCAUUGUCCGUCCAAUCGGGUCAACGGUUUUUAGAUUUAAAAAAAAAAUCAUACGAAAUUGACCGUCCGCCGAUUUAAACAAUUUGACUACAUUCGUACGAAGGGCCCGGUAAUGUAAAUUGGAUUUGCGUACUCGAUGGUAGGCACGGUAUAAACGCGUGACUGUAAGUGUACACUACGAUACACGAGUGUUUUAUAUGUAAUAAAAAACAAAGUCUCGACCGAGGACAUUAUGGGCACGAUCGACUACCAUAAUAGUACGAAUAUUUUAGACGGCUUCGGGGGUCCGUUCGUAUAUUAAUUAUUUGAAGCCGUAACGGUAUUUUAUUAUUAAUUUUAUACUCGACCGUAUUAUUCGCCUCGCUUAUUCUUAACGUCCCGAAGUCUCUAUCUUUACACUCGGCAACGAGACGGUAAAUAAUAAUAAAAAAAUAAAAAUAAAUAAAAUACGCGAAAUGCCGAAAAUUUACGAUUUCCAUUAAAAUUUGAACAUUAGACGCUCGUAUAAAAAUAAUAAAAAAAAAAAAAAAACCUACUGAAUAACGCUAAAAUUUUUCAAUUGAAUAGUUCAGCGCAACAACAAGGCGAGUCCAAAACGACUUUAUGAUGGUUUCCAGUAAACCGUUAAGUUACGUAAUUCGGUGCAUUAAUAACGCAAGUCCGUCUUCUAGGUACAGAGAAAAUAGUGAUGAGUAAUUGGUUCAAUCUAAUUCUUGGAAAAAAGAACGCAAGUCUCAGAGAUGGACGGUUGCUUUCAUCUUCUUAAAAAAUUCCCGAAAAGUAGACUGGUUUUAUUGUUGUACUGAACCUUUAAUUUUUUUUUUUAACCAAUAUUUUUUGAAUAUUAUUAAGUCAUUACGUUUAUCAAUUUUUUUUUUUCAAUGUAUACGCUUAACGCCUUUUUAAUUAAUUAUGUUAGGUUUAUUAUUGAAACAAAUAAUAUUGAAAAAAAAAAAACACCCAGAGUAAUGAAACGGUUCCCUUUUCGGUUUCCUCUACUUUUUAGCGAUCUAUCAGGAAAAUCAAAAAUAUAAACAUACCAUCUUAACGUUCCUACUACAGAUACAAAUUGCUAAUAGAAAAAAACUAAUCUGAAAUGUACGACACACUACUCGGCCGGUAGGUAUACGUUCAUUUUUCUCUGUUCAAAUAGCCAAUCUAUGCAAAUCAGCGUGUUUCGUAAUUUUUUCCAUAAAUGUUUUUAUUUAUAUUCUUUUACGGCCGAUUAUCUGUCCCUAAAACGCGUUUGUCGGGAAAUUGUUGUGCUUCAGCGGGUAACCGAACAAUUCCACGUUAUUUUCGCCAUACGUUGCGACCUCGGCUGUUCGGAAUAAAGAAAAUUGUGUUUUUACACGAAUGGAUGUCUGCCUGUCUGUCUCAUAAUUUCUCGGUAAAUAACUGUUUACUUAGUUAUUUAUUUCGAAUACACAACCGUUUACGCGUACUAUCGCGUUUUAAUUUCAUCACAAUUGAAAUAUUACAGUGUACAUAUUAAUAUUAAAAAAGAUACGGACAAACUUUGCACAACGGGUGGUCCAUUGUUGUAGGUGAGAAUUUGGGAAGAUAGAGAUAAGUAAAGAUAAAGAGGGGAAUUCAACGUUUAUUUGUACGCGCGGAUUAAUCUUUGAAAAACGAUUCUGAGCGGAGUUCGGUUACACGUGUUUUAAAUGGUCGUAAAAUUUACUAUUUGAAAAUAAUGCAUUUCGUGCUUUUUCCCGGGGUUUCUUCACAUUUAUUAAGACAACCCCUAAAAAAAAAAAAUCAAAAAAUGACCACCCGAAAAAGUACCACACCAGUCAAAUUUUUUUUCGGAAAAAUUGCUACAUUUUAAAAUGUGAGCGAAAUUGCCGGCAGAAAAGUCGUCCACAGAACAAAAAACAAAACAAAACAUAAACAUCAUUGUAAAACCGCCAAUGCGUUCAUCGUUCCGCUAAGAAUCUAAAAUUACAAUAGCUACGUAUUUCGAUUGUUUGGACGAACUAGGUGGUUCGGCGGUUGGACUAACAAAUCGAUUUAUAUUCGCUUACGUUCCAUUUCAUUAGUCGCGUAGUAUUUGUUCCAUCGUGUAUGUAAUUAUUGUUACUUGUCGGUGUAAGUCGUUACCCAUAGCGUGAGUUGUUCUAGUGUAAUAUUAUGACGAGGUGUGCAGUGGAAAUAUAAUCUAUUUAACAAAUCCGCGGACAGUAUCGAUGACGUCUGCUAAAUUCGUGUAUAAUACGACGGUAAAAAACUCGACAAUUUCAAACGGCUAUUAUAUAUUUUUCGAAAAUCACCAGUUAAUUUUCGUGCCAUUGCGAUUAUUUUAAACAAAUUUAAAUAAAUUUAGAAUUGAAAAAAAAAAACAAACAAAAAAUGUGCAACUGACCGAAAUAUUUGAAUUUUCCGGGGUCCGAGGGGUUUUCUCCAAUUGUUACAAAAAAGGACAAGGGCGAUAAUAAAAAGAAAAAGAAAAAAACCCUCCUAACAGUUUUACUUACUUCUAAAUCGAAUAUUUGAUCACGAACCGCUUUUGAUAUUCAUGGACAGAAUCUAACCGGAACAUUUCGUAUUGAAAAUUUGUACACAGACAAAAAAAAAAAAAAAAUAAAAAUAUUAAUAAUAUUAAUAAAGAGCCGAUGCCUACUGCUGUUGGGAUAGAAUUUGAUGUAAAUUCGAACACGCUGGAUUUCCAUUUAUACAAAAUAAUCUCGUCGCGACGUGGGAAAAAAAAGAAAACGAUUAGCCGCACGAUGUUCGCGUUUCGGAACCUUUUUUAAAUCGUAAAAACAUAAUACCGUGUGUUUUAUUGUGUAUAAAUCACGGGAAACGCCGCAAACCACAAUGCCGACGGAUUUUAUUUUUUUUCUGCUGUGUUCGCAUUAAACUUAGGUAGGUAUAUACUCGCGUACUUUCACCGGGUCUGAACAGAUAACCGCGACUUAGUUACCAAUACAGGUAGUUAAUGAUUCAGGGCGGCACUCGUGGUGCGCGGAGAGUGAAAAGCCACUCUUAUGUUGGUGCGGAUCGGUACUAAGUACAAUUGUUAUUAUUAAACAGCGUUUUAGCGGUUUUGUCAGCCGUCGCGAUCUUAAAUCCUCCGUGUGAUUACUAUUGGUUUGUGUAACGUCACAUCUGCUCGCGAAUAAUAAUACGGCACAUAGAUUGCUAAGUGAAUAUUAUUAUGACUUCGCGAAGUGCGUGGUGGGUUAAGCCUACAAACGUCGGCGUAUCACCGUUUCCGGUUUAGAUACCGUCCCCCAUUCCUUUUUCCUCUCCGAGGUUCAUCGAGUCGGUACUAUGUACAGAGUGAUUUCAUUUUUAUCACGGACCAACAAUGUUCUCGGCGGAUUUUAAGUGAAUUUGAUUUCCGUUUUGUUUUUAUUCGUUGUCGAAUCGAUUAGGCUUUAUACUUUUGAUUUUCCAACAGGAACCUCUCUUUUCGAAUAAAUAAAAUAUACUCAUUUAUGGUACACGGAAUACUGGUAAAAAAUUAAAAAUGGUUUCAAAAUAAAGCUUGACUAAUUCCACAAUGAUUAAAAAAAAUAAUAAUAAUAAAAAAAACGGAAAUCACAUUCACUUAAAAUCCUCCUAGAAACUCCUGAUUUACAGUAAAAAAAAAUUAUCUCUUUAGGCAUUUAAAGAUACACUCGGAUAUAAAAAUUGACGACGUUUAUGUAGACCGAUAAUUUAGUUACAUAUUAUGUGUGAGAGGCGGGAGGUUAUUGGUAUUUUUGCCAAUUGUGCCAUGCCAACAGUGUUGUUCGUGUUUUUGUACGUUUCGGCCUACUGUUUGUACUGUAUCUAGCCGUGGCUUCAAAUAAUGUAUAAUGCAUGCUUCACUUUUCAAAUUUAAAGAAAUGCUAUCUUUAUAUUUUCUUAUUACACUGUUGACAGUUAAUUUAAAAAGAAAUAUUUUUUUAAAAUAAACCUACUUUUUGUGCAAUGAACAGCUAAAUGAAUACAUGUUCUUGCAAAUUGAUUAAAAAGUGUUGUGGAAGGACUAAAAUUUUCCACGGCUUAAAUACAUUCCGGGGGUAUGCUGAAGCCCCUCAAAGUCCUUCCUAACGUUUUCCCGCAUGACUUAUUGUAUUUUAAUUUUCUCUCGGUUUAUUUUACAAUAUACUAUUAUAAUAUCAUAUUUCUCAACCGUAAUCGGUUUGAAUGUCGCCGGAUCGGAUGAAUAAUUUGCAGACUGUUUAUAUCGGUUUUUGCGAGCGAAAUACAAAUUCGUCGCCGUUGAUAUCGUCACUCGAAACUUUGCUGGUAAAGCGCUGUAACAAAUUGUGCUGCCAGCGUGGUAAUAGUUCGAGAGACAGAAAAAACCGAUUGCGUCGCGGGACGCUCGGCAAAAGUGAAACUUCGAGUAUCAUCAUUUCUGAAAGUUAUUUAGUGUGAAAUUCAGUAGGCGUGUUUGAAGAUAUUGAGCCGUGCGAUUCGUCCAUUUAAUUAAUUUCAUUGGAAGUAAGUGAAAGGACAAUAAAAUAAUAUCAAAACUGAUGUAAACCAUAACGAUUUGUACAUUGUUUUGUUAAAUCAUAUUAUAUUAUAAUUUCAAACAAUUACACAUUUAAUAUCACAACAAAUCCAUCUCUCGCGAUCGUACUUCAAUAGCGGCACGUAAAUAAUACAACGUUGUCGGUCGAUUCAAGCUCGAUGAAAUUGCGAUGCUGUGUUGUAAACGUUAUCGAUUUCGGAUUGCUUUGUCUCCAGGAAUUCGGCUACCGCCGUUCGCUCGAUUGCCCAUGUCGAAAUCCAAUCGAAAAUCACUCUCGGCGUGUUGCGCACGCAAAAACGCGAAACAUAAGUUCUGCGAUCGUCGGUAUCGAACCCGACAACAAUGGUUCGCGAGUGUCGGUACGCCGGCGCCGGAAUCGACGAUCCGAAAACGAUUCGACGCCCCAACUACAAAUAAGCAAAUACGACUGGAAAUGUCCGCGCGCGCUGUUCAAAUAGGCCAAUCACGAACGGAGAACGGUUCGCAGGUGUUGAAACCGAUCCCGAAAUGUUAAAUAUUUUUCCAGCGUUUUACAGUACGCACCCAACCGUAACAACGGGGAAUUUUCGUUCAGGACACGACGGGAAUUGACGAUAACCGUACUAAUGGCAGUACGGUAUUUAAUCGCGGUGACGAAAACGGCGAUAGUUUUUCCUCUUUUUCGGGACCCGCUCGAUUAAAACAGCCACGCGUCAAUAAUAUUAUUAUUAUGCGCCGCCGCCGCCGCCGUUUUCGAAUUUUCUCGUCUUCCCGGUCGUUUGGAGUCGUUUCAAAAACAAUAAUAAUUCCGAUGACGUUAUUACACUAUGAUAAUAUUAAUAUACCGCGUAAUACGGAAACGGCGGGGCGCGCCCGUCGUCAUCACUUCGAAUCGAUCGGCGCUAUAAUGUGUCGGGCGCAUAGAUUAUAAUAUAAUGCGAGUAUAUGGAAAAAUGUAAUUUCGCGUUGUGAGCCAACGGGAGCGAAUAAAAAAAAAUAAAAAAAAAAAAAAAAACAUAUAGCAAACGAGGUCGAUUCAAUAUUGGUUUCCGUUCAUGAGAGGCGGCGGUGAUUUUUUUUUUAGCCGAUUAUACAGUACGCAUUAUAUGGUAUUAUAAUGUACAAUAUGUAAAAUGUUCUUCGUCGUAUUAUAUGCUUCUGUUAGAGUUUCGGGUUGACAACCCGAAUGGAACCAUUCCAAUGGUGGUAUUCGUCGACCUGCAGUGCAUAUACGUGGCGAAACAGAUUACGAAGGCGACGACGUGCCCAGAGGGGGGGGGGAGAUAAGGGAAAUUUCCUACUGGCCGUGUUAAAUGAAAAAAAAAAAAAAAAAACAAUCAUACAAUCUAUUCAUUAUAUGCAUUGAAAACUUAAUACUAAUACAAUAAUAGUCGUUGCAUGUUUCGACCGAGUACAAAUAAUUGUAUUAAUUACUAUGGAUUUCGCUAACUAGUUUUUUUUAGCUUAACCUCUCCCUACUCAUUGAACAUCCUGAAUACGCUACUGCACGUAGGCAUUUGGAAAUAUCGUAUCCUAUAUAGGACUCGUAUUUAAAUGGAUUAAAAAAGGCCACUCAAAAAAUGAGCAAAGAACGAAAAAUGCACAGAAUACGAAAUGCAAAUGGUCCCUUUUUAGAUGUCCGUUAAAAUUAUCUAGUUAAUUUAAUGCCUUAUGCCUUUAUAUCAGCGGAAAAAAAAAUGCAAACUUUAAAACAAUAGAACAAUGAUUCUUAAUAUUCAUACAAUGUGACGAACAUUAUGAAAAUACAAUUUUUCGAGGUAACGUUUGGAUACAUGAAAAACUAAUGAAAUAUUUUUGAAAAAACUUUGGAAACAAUAGUGGAAAUGAGGCGAAAAUACAAAUUUCACUUUUGAAAACUUAUCUGCAGUCACGCGAACCUAAUAACGAAAUUCUGAUUAUUAACAACGAUCGCGUCUUAAUGUCUUUAAUAAUAAACGACGCGAACGAAAUAAUAUUCUAUCGAACCGCAUUGUUUACACGAGGAGGGAGUGGUGAGUUUUUGUCAAGCCCCAAAGAUAAUUAAGGGCGGGCUGAAAAAUUUAAAUUUCGCAAAUAUAAGACAAUGAUUUAUACGCACAAGUCCCACUUUUUUCCCCUUCCUAUUGAUAUGCAUAGGUAAAUGGGAAAAUAUUCGCAGAUCAAUAGGGUGAGCCCAAAACCACCAGCGGUAUAGCUGACAAAUAAAAUUUCGUUGCGAUUCCAGUACAUUCUAUAGACGUGUUCGGUCGAACUUCACCGCGCCUCGGCGGGCUCGUGGAUACAAGUGCGUUUCAGGCGGUGGUCGCCUUAAACUUGUUAAUAUAAUUAUUGUAUCUAAAAAUGUAGUCGCCGGCUAUAAUAAUAUUGUUGUUACCAUAACAGCCCGAACGCGCCGAACUUAAAGCUUCUUUGCAGACGUUACGCGAGCUUACAAAAUCCCCUGACAAAUUUACCGUCACGUCGUGCACACACGCGCGUACCCCGUAAAACGAUUAUAUUUAUAUACGAGAUUUUACAUUUAAUAAUAUAUUUUAUAAUACAGUGCUGUGUGUGCGCGCUAUACAAGAGACGUUGUUAUUAUUGAACGUUGAAAACCUCUUUCAUAUAUUCAAAGUACCCACCUAUAUGUACGUAAUAAUAAUAAUAAUAAUAAUACAUUUAAAAAUGUACAGUUUAAUAUUAUACAAUAUUAUAUUCGUGUAUUAUAAAUGUGCGUGGGAUAUUUUAAGAGGGAUUAUUACGUAAAAGAAAAAAAAAAAAAGAAAAAAAAAAGCGCAUUAUUUUUUUUUUCCCCCUUUGUGAAAAAUUCCAUACGCGGGACACAUUAUAACACGGGUAAAAAUCGUAUUUGCACUAUAAUUAUUGUAAUUUUAUAUUUGUAUUAUAUUAUUAUGUUGCCUAUUUAUGUUUUUUUUCGCCCGGACGUAUUAUUUUAUAAACGCAUUAAUACUGUUGAAUAACGGACGGACACACUGCACCGCCGCGCCGGGUCGGGCCACUGCUGUGGCCGAGCGGUUGGGAAGAUAGGAUACGGAGAGGAAUUUGAUUUGCAUCUAUACGCAACGGUAAACGAUACUGAGCGGAGCUCGGCAAUAUAGUAUUGAUUUUUCAACGAUGUGCGGUUUGCACGACAAUAACGUGUUGUUUAAAAAAGAUUAAAAGAUUAAUUUAAUAAAAACUUAAUAAUCACGAAUGAUAAAUAAAAACUGUUGUCAAUGACAACGUUAUAUUCAAUCUUUUAAUCUAUUGUUUAACCCGACGAACCGGUUUUCCCGCGUCAUUUCGAAUGUUAAUGAGAAUUUCAAUAAAUAAACAUUUAAAAAACCAAUUAGAGCCAAAAUGCAAGAGAAAAGUUCUCUUUUCAUGUUUUGAUUGGAGUAAGAUUUCUCGGAGAAAUGUUGUACUCAAUAUAAAAAUAAUAAAAAUAAAUACAAAAAUAAACAUCAUUACAAAACCAAUAAAUUCCUCGUUUCGUUCAACCUAAAUUUUUUUAAAUUAUCCUGUUAUUAUAUUGUUGAUAUAUAUAUUACCUGUAUUGUACCUAUCUGAAAACUUUUUUUAUUAUUUUUCUGGUUUACGCUGAUUACCGUCUUCUUUGUAUUAUACUACGCAAUAAACUACUCCACGAGAUUAUUAUCAAUAAAACGUAUACUUUUAGCCUUUAGGUACCUACAUUAUAACGGUAUAGUGUCUGCAUCUAUCUUUUUCGUAUUUAUUCUUUCUUUGUUAACGGCGAAAAUAAUCCAUUUUUUAUGUUUAUUGCGUACGAUAUAAUUGACUUUUUUUUUUUUUAUCACGAAUACUAUUAAAUUUAUAGUAUUUGCUAAUCUCGAAGAAAAAAAAAACAACAGAGUAAAUACUUCGAGACAUUUCAGUAUACAUAAAUGCUCGUAACCGUUAUAUUAUAAGGGCUGUUGUAUUAAUAAUAGGGCGACCGAGUAAAUGAUCAUCUCCUAAUAGGCCUCGACUAUAUAAAUUCGUAUACGACGUUUAAUGGUACAGGUAAUAUUAUACUUAAAGCCGAAAAACAUUUUUCUUUGUUAACGUUUUAUACAACAUGAGUGUUGGAUAUAUUUAUGGAUGUCGUUAUUUGAAAAAAAAUGACUCUAGGACAACGCGGUUUCUGCAAUCUUACCGUGCAAGCAUGGCACUAAUAUCAUUUGAAGGAAUUUGGAAAUUUCGGACGUUAGCGUUAUUCGGAGUUGGCGAAUCAUAUACUAACAUGUUUACUCUGUCAAAACCAUUUUAUCCAUACUGUGCCAUUGUUGUAUGUGAGAUUUUGGGAAAGUAAAAUACGUAAAGUUAUUAAGUUUAUAUUUGUACACAACGAAAACCAUGGCUAAUAGAAACAAAUUCUGAUCGAAGUUCGGUUAUUUAUGUUUUGAAAUGGCGUGAAUUUACUACUAAACUAGCUAAUAAAAUCAAAAAAAAAAUCUACUAGAAACAUUAUAAUAUAACUUUGUAUUUUAUACUACUAAGUAUAAUUAAAUAAUGAAACUCGUGUUAUAUUUUCAAGCAUUUCUAUUCAGACAACACAAUUAUAUCCACAUAUUUUUUUUUUUUUUUUUUUAAUUUAAUAAAAAGUAGAAAAUACCAAAUGCCUAGUAUAAUAAAUAGUUUUUAAAAAAAUUGUAUUUUUAAAAAUGUUACCGUGCCUAGAAAAAUCUAAUACAAGCAGUGCGUAAUCAUUUCAGGUCUAUAUUGUUGUCUCUAGCCAAAGCACUGCAAACGAAAAAAAAAAAAAAAAAUCGAAAAUAAUGAAAUCGGUAUUAUCGUAAACAUCCCUGUGUUCAAUAGGUUUUUUCCGGGUGUUCCUAGUCAUUAGGAAAACUAGGAGUGAAAUCAAAGACGGCCGGUUCCAAUGCACCAACUGAAUUCCAUUUGUUUUCAGGAAAGUCGUUAGGCACACUUGAAAAUCGAAAGCAAAUAUCCGGUAGAGGAGUUGUUCACAGCUCCGCGGAAGAAAAAAAAAAACCGCUCAAAAUCUUAAAUGCACAUUAGUCUAACGAAAAUACCAAUUUACAAUGCAUACGCGGAAACGGAUUUUUUCGAGAGGCAAACCGAAUAACGAAACCUUUUAUUUAAACAACAUAAUCCGUUCUACGACAAAUGGAAUUAUCAUAAGCCCGAGUAUUGUUUUCCUUUCUUGAAACGCUCGUGUUCCCCUUCCGAUAUUCCGUAGCGGGUGUACACUAAUAAGCACGUGCACUUCGAUAAAUUUUAAUUAAAACCAAUAACGUCGUUACAGUGCUCUUGUGUUCCGAUGCGCGGGCCCGUAUGACGAACCGCGCGCUCCGGAAGAUCCCGUAGAGUUACUGCGCGAGUCGCGGCAUUGGUUUUGUAUUAUUAUUGCACUUGUUAUGUACACGCGUGUAUAUUUAUGUAGCCAUAUCGUUUUUGUUUCGAGGUAUAAAAUUGUCGGGCCCGUGUGUAUCCGUUUAACGUCGUCGUAAGCUCGCUGAGGAAAAAAAAAAAAAAAAAUUGAAAAAAAAUCAUAUUUCGUACUCGCGAACAAUGACGAAAACGCGACGAACGAAUUAUACGAAUAGACAGUAGUCUGAAGAACGUGUUAUCGAUAGGGCCGGGAUUCCGAUGCACUUUUCGUUUUUUUUUUCCAAAGGUCGCUGCGCAACGCUCGUCCGGUCACGAAUCCUACACCGAUGGUUUUUUCUACGAAUUUACCAAAUUAUAAACGGGAUUUUUUUCGGACAUUAUAAUCCCGCUCGCGAAGUCCGGAUACCUAUAUCACUAUAAGAAUACUGUUAAUUGAAAACAAAUACCGUCCUACCAUUCGGAUAAAUAAUACACGUAAACGAAAUAACAUCCUAUAUCGGUUGGAAAUAAUUGUUCACGGUUUGUUUCGUUCAAAUUCAAUAUCCACGGACCCGUAGGUCACACGAUAACGUUUUAACACCGAACUCCACUUAACGACCGCCGCUUGUAUCUGCUCUUGAAAUCUGUAUACAAAUUUGUUGUAUGGUAUUAUUGAUUGUUCAAAAUUAUUAUCAUUAAUUCGUUUCGGAUUGAAUAAUGUUAAUACUAAUACGCUCCUUGCCUUUUUAUACGAUUUUCUCUAACGAAAAAAUAUAUUUUAAAUUACCCCGCUGACAUUUGAACAGGUUUAGUUCAGGUAGUACCUUUAGAUUUGAUUAUGUUUAAUACUGUUUUAAUGUAACUUCUUAUAAUUUUAUAUUAUAUACUGUCUAUAAUCUAUUAGAUAAGAUUUUAUUAUGAUUAUUAUUUUUUAAUAUUUUUGCUCUGUAUUUUCUUUUCUUUACUUUUUAAUUUAUGAAAAAAAAAAAAAAAAAAAAAAGUUACAUUUAAGUAUUGUAUACUAAUGUAAACUGUACCUUGUACCAUAAUAAAUUUAUAUCAUGCUAUGUUUAGGACACUAGUCGGUAAAAAAAAAAUAUACAUAUAUAUAUAUAUAAAUAAAAAAUAAUUAAUAAGAAGACGUCGUACGUAGGAUAACAAAUUUUCGCCCGAGCGUGUGAAAUAUGACGGUUUGAAAAUGGUUUAUAUCUCGCUUACAAAUUUAAAUAACGAUAAAAAAAAAAAAAAACGGCGAUACGACACGGAAAAUAUUCUUAUUUUUGAGUUCGAUGUAGGCACGUUAUCCUCUCUAAACACGAGAUAAAAAUAUUGUCUUAUACUAUAAUGUAAUAUGCUAUAAUGCGUAUUAUGUUUUUUAAAACAUUUGGGGGGGAGGGGUGGUAUCAUCUUUUAAAAUUUUUUACGACUGUGUUUUGCUACCCUAUAAUCUAACCUAACGUAUACAUAGGCGUAUUUAAGACUUUUUUUUUUACCCGACAAUAUUUUUCCUUGAAUUUAUCAUAGACUGAUUAUAAACGCACGGUGUGCUUCUCCCCUACACAUUCAUCAAAAUUAGGAGUGGUUUAACACGCACGAUCCCCGCCCACCUCUAAAUGCGCUACCGGUUAGGAUCAUCAUUUUAAAGCGUUAUACGACUGCAGCGUAGGUAGAGGAAGAAACGAUAAAUAAUUUCACAGUGAAUACAAUUAUUUCAAUUUUAUUCCCGCGAAAACCCUUUAACGGAAUUAAAAUAAUAUUAUGUAUAUUGAACGGAACUCCGUCGGGGUUGUCGUUCGUGCAGCAGUAUAAUAUUAUUAUAAUAAGAGGCGUCGUGUGGAAGUCUCCGCAGCAGUAGGACCCGACGAAUAUAUAUUCUAUUAAAAAGUUGAACGUAUUAAAAAGCUAAAAAGUCCUAUGUAUAGGAGGUAUACGCACCGAAAACUUUCUUAAUUUAUUGACGCUGAUGGAGGAGUCAUUUUCUCUACAAAGAUCAAUAAGUAUACGAGGUAUGUAUUCCACCUACCUACCUGUCUACUAUUAUAAUAUGCGUAGUGUGCGUUCUCCAAAGCUUUGCAGUUUCGAAAUAAUAAUAAUAAAGUAAGUCGUUUAUUGAACGACAUCGUUGGUUCAUUUCUGUUCCGUUGCAGUUAGCGCUUCAAAAGUUAUUCUAGGAAUUUGUAUUUAAUUAACACCUGAAUAAUCAAUAACCUUCCGAGCCAUCGUAUUACCAUUUCGUUCGAUUUAAUCGCGGAUAUUCGUUCGAUACUUAUAGAUGCGUCACGUUCACGCUCAUAUAUCAUUUCGAGUACGGAUUUUAUAAAGUGAAAAAACAAAAAAAAAAAAAACAAAACCAACGAAAAAUCUCUAAAAAUGCUUUUCAAAAUAACUACCUCGGACAAGAUCGGUUGACGGUUUUCACGAGAAAUGAAAAAAAAAAAGUUACCUACCUACGUACUAUAAUAAUACGACGGUACUAUUGCACGGAUAUGAAACUGAAUCGUUGCAGAGGAAAAUGAACGAAAAACAUUUUUGAUGGUGUUCGAAAGAGAAAAUAUUGCCGAAUAUACUGCGGGAUCAGUAAAGGAUAACGUAACCACGUGCGGGGAUUGGAGACAAAGGAAAAAUAGACAGCGCUACAGUGGUUAAUAUUUGGAGAAAAUAAUGUUUUUAAGAUCAUAAAAAAAAAAAAUAAAAAAUGUAAAGACCACGAUUGGCUGUACAGGUAUAUACAUACAUAUAUAUAGGUAUGCUCGGAUAAGCUCAAAUCCACUAUACGGUAUAUACAGGCAGUGCUGGACCAGAAUCCAAUAUAGGGGAAAGGCAUUUGGGAGAGCAGAGCAUGCGGUUAGAAAAAGUGUAAAAACAAAAGCGGGAAGUUUCAGAACCAAAUAUCGGCGAUGAAUAAAUAUAGUUAGAAAAUUUUUUGUGAGACUGGGUGGUCAUUUAUCCAUGGUUAAACAAUUGGACAUGAUGGCCAUCACAGCAUUUUCAAAUCUAUUGUUGACUGCGCAUUUUAUACACAUCAAUGUAAAUAUUCCACGGGAAGAAAAUUCACAAGUCAGUGAAUUUAAUCACCGGAGCGUAUAUCCGAACCUCAACUGAGUUUUAGCACGAGUGUAUUUAGUUAGGGUCCGUGGUGCCUCGUCUGUACUCCGUACCCUAACCGUUUUGGGGCGAAUUAUUACGGCAAAUAUAAAUCAAAAACACACCGGUUCUAUGUAUUCUACAAAUACCUGUAAACACCACCCGUUAACCUAACCUAUAUUUUAUUGAAAACAAUCGGUUCUUUACAAUAAACUGAAUUAAUUGUUUAUUUCCAAUAAAUUGUAAUCAAUAUCAACAGUAGGAUUAUGGCGCAGUUCAAAUACCGAUAUUGGGCCAAUACUCGGCGUUGAAGUAUCGUUUUUUACAGCCACACUUACAACCUAACCUAACCUAACUUCUAAGCACUGGACGUCUCGCGCCCGUAAUAUUAAUUCUUCGCGCACAUUGUAGAAGAAACGUAUAUUCGUAGCCGUCUGAUGGGAUGGUCACCGGAAACGCUGCCACCGGCACUCAAUUUUCGCGACUCCGACUAAUUAUGUUUUUAUAUAGCGUAUAAAGAAAAAAAAACCACAUUUUACAAUUUAUUUCGUUUUAAAAAAUGGAUCGCGUUCAAUAAACAACAGUGGCGAAGCAGAAGAUAUCCGUAGGAAAUAUCGAACCGUUACGCGUCCGAUUUUUACCGUGUACGAUAAUUUGCCCGCGGGUUCGGCCGGGGCACAGGGUACGGUGCACUGCGGACCAGGCAACACGGACCCUGGCCGGACGCGGGCACCCGCGUCCCAACACGGUCAGGGCAGCGGGCAGUGGGCAGUGGGAAUACGCGCCGCCGGGUUUUCCGGCCGGCCGUAAAAACGUAAUAAACCGAAUACGUAACUGAUAAAAUCACGGCCCGCGGUCGUGUCUAUAGUUGUUUUUAGCCGCGGUCUCCGAUGCAGGCCGAAUAAAUCCCGACAACGCUAACAGGGUAGCGGGGCAUAAUUCGUCUCGUGCUCUAUGUUUACGUGUCGUACACACAUUAUAUACGACCGUGUAGAGUUUUCCGUCCCUUAUUCCGUUAUUUGUAACUGCGGUGUUUUGCUCUGCGGCAGUGUUUAUUGCGGUCUAUAAAUAAUAUUUAUUAAUAUUGUAUGUGUAUACGCGCGUGCGCGUGUGUGUGUGGUAUUUUUUUUUUUUUUUGUCGUCACAUUUUUUCGACACGGCACCGCUGACGGUUACCGCACACCGGCACCUACCGUGCGAGAGGUUCAAGUUUUAUAAAGAAAACAAGGCAAGUGUUUAUGUUUUAUUUAUCGUUUUAUUUUUCCCAAAACUCUUUUAUACAAUAUAUUAUAAAAUAUUUUCUGCUCCGGGUCGUCUCUCGGAUCAACCAAUGCGCCUCGCAAAAAUAAAAAAAAAAAAAAUACAUUUUAUUUUUCAUUCUUUAUAAACUUUUCAGACGAUUAUGAUAAUAAACGCGGAUAUCAAACGCCCGCGGUUUAGAUAUCGGGUUUUUUUUUACUUUGUUCAGUGCGGUUGUUUAACCUCGCAUCAUUUAAUUUGCGAAACGAAUAUAAUAUUUAUUGUAUAAAAAAAUCUACACUUAACGUAAUAUAGACUUACAGCAAAAGAAGAUUUACCAUCUCGUUUUUGUCGGCGAUUGAUUUAAUAACGGCAAAUCGUACAGCGGCGAUUUGCCCGGACUUAUGCAAUUUAAUAAAACGUCGCGAUUGUAUUUUAAUGGGAUACAUUUUCCCCGGCGGUUGUCUCGAGUGUUUAGAAAAACCAUAACCGGAAAUGUGAGAUUUGAAAAAUAUCGAUAGAACGAAACAUAUCGAAUUCGAAUCGCUGAACAAGAGAAAAAAAAAUUAAAUAAAAACUAUUGAUUACAUAUCACGGCGAACCUCGUGUUACAUUUUCUAGUGUUUUCUCUGAACCGAUAAAUAAUUGUACCCGCAUGAAAUCGAAUAAAAAAAAAGAAGAUUAAAACCUAAACGAUUUUAAACGAUUAUAAAUAGCACAACAAUCGCCAGAAUGUUUUUAAAACCGUGCCGUGUUUAGAAAAAGUGAUACUCGGCGAAAAUUUCACGGCAGUGAACGACAGUUUCCGGAUUGUUUUCUCUAAUUGUGAAGAAAACCACAAGGAGAAUGAAAAUAAAAUAUCACAUCCCCUCACGCACCGACUAGAAAACAUUUUAUACCGUCAAUCGUUUCCUGACUUUAUAGCGGUACCGAGAUUUCUGGUAGAAAAGUUGUCGAUAGACCGACGAAAAAAGAUAAAAAAAAAAACACCCAAAUACACACACAUGCUCGUAGUAAAAUCAUUUAAUAUAUAUUCCUCGUUCAGAAUCUAAAACUAAAGUUACCGAUUCGGUUAGUAAUAAUAAAGCUGAUGCGCUCGUAGUGCGCUGUUCGCAUUAUUAGAUCCGCGAAAUAAAAACGAUUUUAGUCGUAACCUCUUAAAUUUCCCGACGAGUUUCAAAACGAUAUCCACUUAGGACGGCGUGUCGAUAAAAACCAAACGUUCGAAAUCUACUGCGAAAACAUCAGCUCCAAUCUCGUCUCGGUCGACUGUAUGGCACUUCGUCGGCGCCGAUUUCCUCGGCAAUUUUAUCGAACACCAUAAUAUUUUCUCUCGUCUGUCGAACACUCGUGUAAUACGGACGCAGUCGGAAUACAUUUCGUAUAUAUAUAUAUAUAAAUAUCCGUCCUUAUCGAGGUCUCCUCGUGAGCAGCUCGCACGCGCGCCCCGUCAUCUCAUUAGGUUUUUAAAUUUAAAUAGUUUGCUUGUUCCUCUCCAACACCCCUCCUAAACGGAAAGGAACGGGGAGGGGGUGCGGGAAAAAAAAUCGUUUUAUUUUUACGGCUUGUAUAAAAAUUCGAUUUGAUAAAAUGGCCUGAGAGAGUACCCGUACGGGUGUACGUAUGACACUCGUGUAUACUCGCGCGCGAAACGUUCGAUUGUAAAAAAAAUCGUCAAAACUCCCCGGAGCCGAUUUCCCGGGACUUACAGGUACAGACAAUAUAGGUAUAGGUUAUAUACGGACCGAUCGUUUACAGCGGAGAAUCGCUUUGGAUACCUAAACCGCGACCGCGAAUGUCCGCCGCGGCUUAACUGCAGUAUAUUUUAUCGAGUGAUGCAGUUUCGAUGAUAAUAAUAAUAAUAAUAAUAACAAUAGAUCCGCGAUGAAUAAUUCAUACUAAAUUCCGACGACCCGAAUAUAAAUUUCUAUUCGACGAUGACCGCGUAGUCGACGUCGGCAUCGGUUCAAACUACUACACUAUUAUAUAUGUAUACUUACUGCGGUUAACGGGUAAAGUCAAACUUCUCCUAGCGAUAUUUUACCCGUAAUUUAAUAUUAACUCGUAUUCGAAUAUUAUUAUCGUUUUCGGGUAUCUCUAAUGAUAUAAUCGUUUGUUGUCGUUAGUUAUAAUUAAAGCACGGAUUGGUAUGCACCCGAAAUCCGUAAUAAAGCGGGUGAAAUCGACGAAAAUGCCCGGAAAAUAUCACUUGAAAAUAUUAGAAAAAACCAUAAGUGAUGGAGGGGUUUGAAAAUCCCCCUCCUCUAUUACAGUUUUUACUCUGUUAAAUAAAAUUGUCAAACACAAAAGAAAAAAAAAUAAUACGUUUAACACAAAGUAUUUUUAUUUUAUAAUUUUUUAUAAUAGUUAAGUGACAUUUUAUUUAAAAAUAAAUUGUUCUGUUUAUUAUUUUUGUAGUUUUAGAAAAUUAAUUUUGUACUAAGUUAAAGGGGUGAGAUGGUAGGGACCCUUAAACUCUUCUGCCACUUUUACUUUUUCAAAUAUUUUUUUAAAUUUUUUUUUGUGAACUUUAAGUGCAUAUAAAUCCGUUUCCUAGUCAUAAUAUUAAUCAGUAUUUUACUUUCGCUGACCAUAUACGACGAUACUCCGUUGCAUUUGCAGUCCAACUGUUGAAAAUUGAGAAUACCAAACGAGAACGAACAAGGCAAUCUAUCAGCUAUUUCAAAAACCACGCAUUAAAAGUGAUUAAUCAGAAGCAAACGUAUAGAAUGGACAGGCC
Molecule: long non-coding RNA, 60212 nt
Filed under: Cinara cedri
Lineage: Eukaryota; Metazoa; Arthropoda; Insecta; Hemiptera; Aphididae
Source: RNAcentral